GGGGUGAUGGUGGUGGAGGUGGGGACUUGUACUUGUAAGGGUGCUUGGGUGGUGAUGGUGGUGGAGGUGGUGGGGACUUGUACUUGUAAGGGUGCUUGGGUGGUGAUGGCGGUGGAGGUGGUGGAGACUUAUACUUGUAAACUGGAGAUGGUGGGGGUGGAGACUUGUACUUGUAAGGGUGCUUGGGUGGUGAUGGUGGGGGUGGGGGUGGGGGUGGGGACUUGUACUUGUAGGGGUGUUUGGGUGGUGAUGGUGGUGGUGGUGGUGGGGACUUGUACUUGUAAGGAUGCUUGGGUGGUGAUGGUGUUGGAGGUGGAGGAGACUUGUACUUGUAAGGAUGCUUGGGUGGUGAUGGAGGAGGUGGUGGGGACUUAUACUUGUAAACAGGAGUUGGUGGGGGAGGAGAUUUGUACUUGUAAGGCUUCUUGUGUGGUGGUGGUGGUGGUGGAGAGUAGACCGGAGGAGGCGGUGGUGGAGACUUGUAAUGGUAAGGUGGUGGUGGGUACUUCUUAGGAGGUGGUGGAGGAGAAGAAUAAGUGUAAUCUGCUGAGGUUUCAAAAGGCAAAUUGAGAGACACUGCUAAAACUAAAAGAGUGAGAAAGAGAGAGGUCAUUGAUGACCCCAUUUUCCCCAUACUUCUAAAAAUGGGUUUAAUUUGGUUAUGCUCUUAGCAACCCUCUUCACUCCCUUUAUAUAGACUUUUUUUUUAACCUUAUAAUCAUGAUAAAAGUUUGAAGAUGGACCGAACCUUCAGCAGCAUGUAAAAAAGACAUUACGUUUAGGUUAUUAGCAUGGUAUGAUAUAAUAAUUCUCUAUUCUCUUCCUUGUCGUUUCCCAUAAAUUCAAUUUUCUCUAUUAAAUAUUUAUCAAAUUCAUUUCUCACUCCCUAUUAAUUCUUUAAUAAGUUUAUAGAAUAUGAAUAAUUAAUCAUUAAACUCGAUUUAAUAAAUACUUUAAACAAUUAAUAAUUUAUCUUAUUUUAUGCUUUAAUUAAGGCAUCAAAUCAUAAUCCUAUUUUAUAUUUUGAAAAUUUAUCAUUUUUUAAAGAACUUAAUUGAUUAAAAUGUGAUUCUAAUAUUUGGCAGGAAAAAUUAGUUUACUUUCCUUAGAAUGUAAUAUUCUUUUGAGAGUUAUUUUCUUACUAAUAAUAGAAAGUGAUAAUUCGUGAGAAAAUUACUUUCACAUGUAAAUAAAAAUUAUUAGAACAAAAAAUUAACUUUCUUUUAUUUAUGUUUAGGUACUAAUUAACUUAUUGAGAUAAAGAUAGUUGUAGCUUGCUUUUUCAUGUCAUUUUCUUAUCUUUACAACUUCAAACCAUUAUUCUAGAGUAAGUUUUUUUUUUUUUUUCUAAAUAGUAGAUAAAUAUCUAUAUUUUAUUUUGCUAUAAGAAAAUUAUAUUUUUUAGCAUACAAAACUUAAAGACAACUUGUAGAAUCAAGUAAUUCUAUGAAAAGCAAGCCUAUUCACAUAUAAUACCUAUUACUCUAGCAAUAAUAAUAUUGACAUUGUCUAAAUUUUCUAAUAAAAAAAUUAUAUAAUUUGUAUGUGUUAAAAAUGAAAAAUAUGGCGGUUAUUAAAAAAGAUUUCAUACAUCUAAAUGAAACUACUAAUUUAAAAAUUAGUAUUGAGAUAAUUUCAAGUUAAUAUUGAAUAUACUUGAAUUUGUACAUACAAAGUAAUGAGGGUAAAAAUUUUGUAAAUUGUACAUCUUCACAAUCUUGAGUUAAUAUACAAUUUUUUAAUGUAUUAAUAUAAUGUUUUAGAUCAAGAUGUGAAAAAACAUAACUCAAAUAUUUGUUAAUAAUAAAAAAUUAUUAAUAAAUAUUUAAUUCAAAAUUUAUUAAUAAUAAAAAUUAUUGAAAAAUAUUAAAUACGUUAAUAUUAUUUUUAUAUAAUAAUGAUAAUUUUGUACAGUAAUCUUAUAUUCUCAAUAAGUGUUAAAUGUCUCAAGAUUUUAAUUAAUACUUUUCAGUGGUUACCAAACAUUGUGAAAUAACUUCUUGAACAAUGAUAUUCUUAUCAAUCACAUUCCAUUAGAAAUUUAACAUAGGAAAGCACCAAAACAACCGCUUAAAAAUGAAUGUGCAUGAUUAAAAUCGCGAUAAGUCUUGUUUAUCUAAAAUUUAAAUAUUCAUUUUAUUAUUUAAAAUAUAUUAAUUUUCCAAAAACAAUCAUUAAUAUUUAUAUUUCUAAUUUUAAACAUUCUUUUGUUAAUUAAAUGAUAGUGUAAACGGUUAAACUCAAAUCGAAAGCAUUUUAUCUUAUAGUAGAUUAUAUGACUCAUAUUAUGGUUGAAAGUAAAAUGUAUAAAAUCAAUACAAACAUCAAAUAUUAAACUUGCACUCAAUAGAUUUUAAAAUUUCUAAUUUUACCACUAAUCUAUUUUAAGAUUUUUAAAAAAUCGUACUUUAGAUUAUCUAAUUUAAAUUUUAAAAUUAUUAAAAAUAAAAAAAUUCUUAAUAAAAAAAUUUGUUUCAAAUUUUUAACCUUUUAAUAUAAUUGUUUUAACUGGUUAUCUAAACUAAAUAAAAACUUAUUUAGUAUAAAAAAAAGUGGUAAAUGUGAAAGGAGCACAAAUCACAACUACAAUAUGCUACAUUAGUUUUAUAAUUGGAUUAAUUUAAUCACCGGCAGAGGAAAUGUGUUAGUUCUAGCUACCACCAAUUUAUUUUAAUUCCUUUAAAAAUAUUAGAAAAAAUCAAUUUGAUUUUUAAUAAUAGAUCUAAUUACUUAAAGGAACAUCGGUGAUGUCCACAUGGCAUACAAGGUUAAGCAUAUAAAAAAAGAACAAAAAGAUUAAGUAUCUUUGCAAGAUAGCUUUCUGAAAUAAAUAAAACUUAAAUAAAAACAAUUUUAUUAUCAAAAUAAAAAGAAAAAAGAAAAGAAAUACUAGUGUUUUUAAUUAAAAUAGAGUGAUCUGGGUAGAAUCUUUUACUUAAAUACUGACAUUGACUUUAUAAGCUAUUUUUUAUCAAAAGAAGAAAGAGAAAAGCAUCCGAUUGAAGAUGUGAAUUAUUAAAUUAAAAUUAAUCAUACAUGUAAAAUUUUAUUGUGCUUUUUUCUAGCCCUCCGAAUGACAUUAUGCUUUGAUUACAACAUUCUUGCUCAGAGAUCGGGUUUGAAGAUGAACUCGGAUGCAUUUAGAUUUUUACAAGUAAAUUAAAGGAUGUUAGAACUUGUAUUCCGAUAAACUUAUAAUACAGAAAGCAAGUAAUAUGUGACUGUACAUAAUGGCUAUGAGGCGAGGAUAUGAUAUGAGAAGAUAGAGAUGAGAGAUUGCACUUAAGGGGUUAACACCACUUUCCUUUUUGUGUUUGGUCCCCAAAGCAUCUCUUAUUGGCUGAUGUUGCAAGGCCGUCCCAUAAGUUGGUCUAAAAGUGCUUGAUAGCUAGAAUUAAUAUUGUGGUAUAACAUAUGUCACCACUAGGUUUGAAUAAGGUUACACAGUGAUUUGAUGAAGAUUUAAAAAAGCAUAGAGAUAAUUAUGUUGCAAAUAUUGUAAAAGUAAGAGCUAAAUUGUUUGGCUUUAUUAGAGUUUAGACUCUGUUAGUCUAUUACCAUUCUCUAUUAGUCUGUUACCAUUUUGUUAUAUAGGCUGUAAUAUUGUUAGAAAGCAGUUAGCAGCUGUUAGUCAUAGUAGUUAGUCAUACAAAUAUAAAUUCUAUUCAUGUAUUGUUCAAAGGUAAGCUAAUAAUAUCAGAAGCGAUUUAAUGUAUUCAUUCUACUUUUUUUUUAUUCUUCAUAAUACAGUUGUUAACAUGGUAUCAGUACCCUAAUUUCUUAGAGGUCGCUUCUAUUGUAGAUCCAUGGCCAAUUCCACUGAUUCUACCUCCACUGGUCGUAGCAGUCCCUCGUUCUCGAUUCAUGUUUGGUUCAAUCGUUUCCUCGUCGUCACACUGAGAAGUUAGAUGAAAGAAAUGUUAUGCAAUGCCAACAGCAUAUCCUAUUGAUAAUUGAAGGGUAUGAACUCAUAAGAUUUUUAGAAGGGACGUUACCUACUCCGCCUCGCUUUGUGUCAUCUCCCGAUGGAACCUUGGCUUCGGCUCCCGAUGCAUUCCUGUUUGUUCAGCAAGAUAAGUUACUCGCUCUUUGGUUGCUUUCUACGAUUAGUGCUCCUUUGUUGUCCUCUUUUAUAGCUGCUAAGACACCGUGUGAGGUUUGGAGCACUGUGAAUCACCUCUUUACUGUUUCCACCAGAGCGAAGUUAUCGCGUAUUAAGCAUGAACUCCACUCCAUCAAGAAAGGCAUGAUGACUGUCAAAGAGUAUAUUAUUAAGAUUCAAAAUACCUGCACCUUACUCGAGGCAUCUGGAUUGGUGGUUUCGAAGGCCGAGAAGGUAGAGAUCAUUCUUGCUGGCCUAUCGUCAGAUUAUGAUGUCGUUUUAACACUACCAUAGUUCUCUUCUGAAACUCUUCCGUUACAGAAGAUAGUUGUUGUGCUACUGAAGUUCGAAAGCCGUCAGACUCAUGUCGUGAAUGACAUACCUUUUCAUGCUCAUCUGGUAGAGGCCACUUCGGCGACAUCGGUGGAGGACUCCGUACAUGGUAGCCAUCCUCCUCCUGGUGCUCGUGGGCAUGACUUUCGACUCGGCUUCAGUUCCAGAUCUAUGGUUGCUAUGGACAUCUGGCACAACGCUGUUAUUAUCAUUUCAACCGCGAAUACAGUGGUCUAUCUGCUCUGACCAUGGCGCAGGCUUCGCUUUUGUGCUGGGCACUAUUCGUGUGACAAUGUUUUUGGUGCAACUGGUCUCUUGACCGGCUGGUUUCCAUCAGCUCAUCCUAGUUCAAACCCCUUCGAUGUGCCUGGACAGUGUGCCGAUUCUUCGGUGACGGUACCGGCGCAUUUCCCUUAUGGCUCCUCUUGGGGAGGAUGGCCACAUUUGUAAAACAAUGCCUCCCUUGUGCCAAGUCUACCGAAUGUUAGGGUUUCUAACCUUUUUGCUCCUAAUUUUAACAAUGAGGCAAGCUAAGUGUUUGGGCCCGCUGUUGAACCAGGCUCAAAUAGUGACCAAUCUGGUGGUCCUCACUUGCCGCUGAAGAUGGGCUAACGCAUUGGGCCAUUCGCUGGUGUUCCUAGGCCAACUGCUUCAGGCCAAGAUUUUGGCCUAAAUGGAAUUGGUAGGCCAGCCAGUGCUCGUCCUAGCAUUGGAUAGGGUUCACUUGGGUCAAAUGUCAAUUUUAUUGGACUUGAGGGUUCUUUUGGGUAUAGACAAGAGUUUGGGCCCACCACUGGCAAUGUUUCAGUGCCAAUUAAUAGAUCAUGUGUUCCAUGGCACACAAAAUCGAGGGCACGCGUUAUUGAUUUUGAUUCUUCGCUGUGCGUUGGGUUGCAUCGCUUUACUAAUUUUCACGCAUCCGAUUUUUUUACUACCACUGGGUCUAAUGCCAAUACAACUCCAUAUAGGUCUAAUUUUGAUAAUGGUAAUUCUUACAUUCCUAUGCCUAUAGGGACCUCAUCAUGGUGUCUUGAUUUAGGGGCUACGCAUCAUGUCUGUUGAGAAGUCUCUGCCUUGAAUAAGUCUACGCCAUACUCAAGUACAUCUCCUUUCUUCACGGAUGAUGGUAUUCCUACAAAAAUAUCGUAUGUUCGGAAUCUUAUCUUGUCUAUGAAAACCAAAUUGCUUCAUUUGUCUAAUGUUUUGUGUGUGCCAAAUAUACGGAAGAAUUUGCUAUUUGUUUCUCAGUUUGCUAAUGACAAUAACGUGUUCUUUAAAUAUCACCUGUCUUAUUGUGUUAUUAAAGACAUCCAGACUCAUGAAAUUUUACUACGGGGCUACACUCGUGAUGGGCUCUAUUAUUUUUCGUCGGUUACUCUUGCUCUGUUUGUCGUUGUUCCUUUUUUCAUAGCACUGGGAUCUAGAGUCGCAAUGCAUAUGAUGAUUGUUUUGCAUUAUGGCAUCACAGGCAUAGUCAUUUGUCUGCCUCGAUUGUUAAACUUGUUCUCGAUAAGUGUCAAGUUGUUUCAAAAUAAAAUGUGCCUUGAAAAUAUUUGUAUUGCAUGUCAAAACGGGAAGUCUCACAAACUGCCUUUUUCAAGUUCUACUACUGAAUAUACAAAUUUGUUUGAUUUGGUUGUCUCUAACUUAUGGGGACCAACGUCUGUUGUCUGUAGAAAUAAUUUAUAUUAUGUUUUGUUUAUCGAGAUGUGUAGUUGAUAAACCGUAAUUUAUACAUAUUUUUAUCCUAUGUUUGGCACAUUUAUAGAUGAUUUAUCCUUAGAUUUGGUGAAUUCGAUGCUCCUAAUCCUUUAAUUUCAUAUUUUAUACUUAGGAGAGCAUAGGAGGGCAAAAAGAGCGAGAAACGGGCCGAAAACGGAAAAAAUAGACCCACAUGGGAAAUCAACAUGGCCUGGACUUCCUCACACUGGUAAGCCACACGGCCGUGUCCAUUUGGCAGGAUCGAAGCAAGACUUACACGAGUAGACUACACGCCCGUGCCUUUUUAAUAGCCUUGACCACUGUCUGGAGCAAUCGCGCACGGGCAUGUCCCUGUCGAGCCCAAGUAUAGUCUUAUUCGGAAAAGGUCUAUUUUAAGGGCUCUUAGGCAUUCUAAAGCUUAUUUAAUCACCUGAGAAGGCACUUAAAAGGGGGGACACGGAGUAGGAAGCAAGGAAUUACUCGAAGAAAGCCGAUUGAUCCAUCUCAGAAGCCUGAUUAUUCAUCAAGACUGAAAAUCUCCCUUCAAUUACCAUUCAGGAGUUUUGGGUUUUCUUUAUGUUUUGUAUUCAUUAUUCUUCUGAGAUGUUUUCUUUUAUAAUUAUGAUUUAAACCCUCUAAAUACCUAAGGGGAAUGAAACCUAAACGGAUCUUGUUAUUAUUAUCUGAAUUAUAUGAUAAAUAUUUGACUUGUUUUUAAUUAUAUGUUCUUAAUUCUUGUCUUAAUAUUCCAGGAUAUUGAUUCAAGUUAAUGCGCUUAUUCAGAGGAGCAAAAGUCCCUGUCUAAGAGUAAAUUUGUCAUAAUUAAACAGAGUUGAUUGCACACCUAAAGAUAGGGUAACAAGAUUUUGCCGAAUUAGGGUGAAACCUAAUAAGGAGAUCCAUAGAUCGAGUUAAUGCAACACUAGGGCGUUAAAUAGAAAGAGAUUUCAAUUAAUCAACCUAGGGUUAGAUGUUAUUAGUCUUGAGAGAGAUAAUAAUAUAACUUAGGGAUUUGUACGGAUCAUGUCAAAUGGAUAAAUCGACUGAUUCAGAGUCAAAUAACAAGUGAAGUCUAGGUGGAUUUUUCCUUGGGUAUUGUCCUAAUCAAGCGAAUUUUCUAAAAGUAUUUUCCCCAAUUUUUCAAGCGAAUUUUCUAAAAGUAUUUUCCCCAAUUUUCUUUCUCUGCACCCUUAGUUUAGUUAAUUAGUUUUAAUAAACAAAUCCUUUAAUUUUUAGGUUAGAUAAUAAAAAGAAAGUGAUUACUAGUACUCUUGGUUCCUUUGGGUUCGACAAUUCGGUCUUGCUAAAGCUAUAUUACUGUUCGAUAGGUACACUUGUCUUUAUCGUGAUAAUAGUUGGUUUCAAUAACGAUCAUUUCUAAAUUAUUUAAAACUUAUCGCAAGUAUCAUGAAUCAAGUUUUUGGCGCCGUUUCCGGGGAACUAAGAUAUUAGGAACACUUGAUUUUUAUUACUUUAGCCAUUUUUCUUUAUUUUUACUUUAAAUUUUUAUUUUCUUUUCUAAUUUUUCUUUUAUUUGUUCCUGACAGGUUUUUAUAGUUUAUGAUUAGAAGAAACCCGUCGGGACCAUUACUGUUUGAUAGUGAGAUCGAUCGCACAGUUCACAGAAACCAAAGAAAAAUAAGACGAAGCUUAAGAUACAAAAAGGAAGAGUAAGACGACGAUACUUCAACCACAAUCGAGAAGAUGGCUGAAAACCAGGAAAAUUUGCUACCUCCUGUGAUUUCUGCUGAUCCAGUAAAUCAGAAUCCUACUCCACGCACUAAGUAUGAUUAUGCUAAACCUACUUUAACAGGAACUGAGUCAAGUAUAGUUAGGCCUGCUAUUGCUGCGAAUAAUUUUGAACUGAAACCUAACACAAUUGAAAUGAUACAGCAAUUUGUUCAGUUUGAUGGUUUGCAGGAUGAGGAUCCAAACAACCACUUGGAAAAUUUUCUAGAGUUUUGCGAUACAUUUAAAAUCAAUGGCGUUUCUACUGAUGCCAUUCGCCUUCAGUUAUUCCCUUUUUCAUUGAGGAACAAAGCUAAACAGUGGUUGAACUCGUUACCACAAGGGUCAAUCACUGCUUGGGAACAAAUGACCGAAAAAUUUUUAUUAAAAUAUUUUUCGUCGACUAAAACAGCCAAAUUACGUAAUGAUAUCUCUUCAUUUAUGCAAAUGAAUAUAGAAACACUCUAUGAUGCAUGGGAGAGAUACAAGGACCUUUUAAGAAGAUGUCCUCACCAUGGGUUACCACUCUGGCUACAGGUUCAAACGUUUCACAAUGGCCUGAAUCCUUCGACUAGACAGAUGAUUGACGCAGCUGUUGGAGGAACUAUCAAUAAUAAGACACCUGAGGAUGCUUAUGAAUUUAUAGAAGAGAUGUCACUAAAUAAUUAUCAAUAGCAAGUCAUGAGGACAAAACCGAUGAAAGCAACCGGGGUUUUUAAUGUUGAUUCGGUCACCAUACUUUCUAAUCAGGUAGAACUUUUGAAUAGAAAAAUUAACAGUUUUUUUGGUUCUUCACAGGUUCACCCAGUAAUGCAAUGCAAUGCAAGUGGGGGAGAAUUGAGCAAUUCAGAAUGCCCACCCUAUGGCCACAACAUGAAAAACAAGCAAUUAAAUUAUAUGGAUAAUAAUCCUCGACCUCAAAAUAAUCCUUAUAGUAACACUUACAAUACAGGAUGGAGGAACCACCCAAAUUUCUCAUGGGGAGGCCAAGGGAAUCAGAGACCACCACCAUUUCCAGGUUUCUAACAGCAACCUUACCAGCAAAAUAAAAAUUUGAACCUUGAGGAAAUGCUAACAAAAUUCAUCUUGGUGUCAGAAACUCGUUUCCAGAAUACCGAGACAGCACUUAAAAAUCAACAAGCGUCGAUCCAAGGGCUCGAAACUCAGAUAGGCCAGCUCGCUAAAUUGAUAUCUGAAUGAACACAAGGUAGCCUACUGAGUAACACUGAAUCUAACCCAAGGGAGCAACUCAAUGCGAUUGCCAUUCAAGAUGAGGAAGGGUUAGUUACAUCUAAACCAGAACCGAGGCAAGAAACUGUGGUAAGUAAAGGUAAAGGUAAGGUAAACCACAUCGAGCAGAAACCGGUAAGUAAAGAGUACAAACCACGAGUGUCAUACCCAAAUGCGACAAAGAAAGACCAUACAGAUGAACAAUUUUGUAAACUCCUUAAACUAUUAAAGAAAUUACACAUUAACUUACCGUUUAUUGAAGCCCUUUCGUAGAUGCCGAACGCAGUCAAGUUUUUAAAGGAGCUUUUAGGAAACAAGUGAAAGUUGGAUGAAGCGUCGCAUGUGGAGUUGAACGUAGCUUGCUCAGCUAUUCUACAAAAUAAGCUACCCAACAAAUUAAAAGAUCCAGAGAGUUUUACAAUUCCUUGCUUAAUUGGUAGCUUAGAUGUUAAUAAUACUUUGGCUGAUUUAGGGGCUAGCAUCAAUGUCAUGCCUUACAAAAUGUUUAAGUAACUAGGUCUUGAGAAACCCAAACAAACUAAGAUGAGUAUUCAAUUAACCGAUGAAACAAUUAGAUUUCCUAGGGUUAUUAUUGAAGAUGUACUCAUUAAAAUUGACAAAUUUAUAUUCCCAGUUGAUUUCGUUGUUCUAGACAUAGAGGAGGAUAGUAACGUUCCUUUAAUUUUAGGGAGCCCUUUUUAGCAACUGUUAGAACAAUAAUUGAUGUUGGCACAGGUGAACUCACACUUCGUGUGGGAGACGAAACAAUCACCCUUUAAGCUCGUAAUUCAAGUAACACAUCAAAAAUUGAAGGUGGUUGUAUAAAUCAUACUAUUAAAACUGAUCAUUUGGUGAAACCUUCCUGGCAGGAAACACGUUCAAAGAACACACCUGAGCCAUGUUCGAGUAACGACAAAAGACCUAUCUAUGAAGAAUGAAGGCUACAACUUGAGGAACUAGAUGAAUAGCUGACACAUAAACCGAGGACACACGAUAAACCAAAACCAUGCCAUGACGAGCUCAAUAUUUCACCAAAUCAACUUAAGGUUGGAGACAAAGUACUACUAGAUGCGGUAGACCCUCGUAUUGCUACGUCUGAACCUAACGGAGCAAUCCCUCUUACAGUACUCAACAUUUUCCCAUAUGGUACAGUCGAGGUUAUUCAUCCCAAACUCGGCACUUUUAAGGUAAACAGUACUCGUCUUAAACCUUAUUUUGAUAAAAUUGAUAGCAGGGAUGAGGAGUGUGAACUCCUCACAUCACAAUGACCAUGCAACAGAAAGGUAAGUCGAGCUUAGACUAUAAAUAAGCGUUUUUCGGGAGGCAACCCGAGCAUUAAUGAUGUUAACUUUUUUAAAAUUUUAGUUUUUUACAUCUAAUCACUAACUGAGUCAGUGAAACACAGGUUUUCUAAUCUACACGGCCAAGCACACGGACAUGCCUUAGGCCGUGCUCACACCAUGGGAGGAGACACAGCCGUGCGAUACUGCCGUGUGAAAACAGGGUAAAAUUUUUCCUUAACACGGGAUGUGAUAAGUUGCCACGGCCGUGCGAUGUAGCCGUGGGCGAGUCUUUCAAACCAACACAGGCGUGUGACACACCCGUGUCUAUAAACCAUGGUUGAAACUGAGAAUUUAGCACGAGCAUGUCCUAUCAACCGUGCUCAAGACUGAAAAAAGAACACGGGCGUGGACAUCUAUACACGGGCAUUGGAGAAGAGAAUGAAACAGAACAUGGUCGUGUGACACAGACGUGUGCACCAACACGCCCAAAGAGCACGGGCGUGUGAAGAAUUUCAGACACGCCCAAAUUUGAAAAUUACGAUAAACACGAGCUGAAAUAAGGGCACAUGGGGGUGCCCCACGACCGUGUGCCCCAAAAUCUAUAUAAACCCCUUACUAUUCAUCACCCCCUUCCCCAAAAUCUCUAACCCUAGCCGCUGCAACUUCACAUGCCCUACCUGCCACGCCCGUGCACCGUCCACAGCACCACCUUUGACAACCCAAAGCUCCUCCCUCUUACGUUUGUACAUUUUUUUCCUUCUAUUCUCUUCAUUCUUUUACUUAUUUGAUGAUAUUUUAUUUUAUUUUGAGUAAAUAAUCAUAGUUAUAAUGAUAGAAUACUUAUGCUCUUUGUUAAGAAAUUUACCAUUUUAAUUGAUAUAUUUUGCUGCAUUUAUCCACUUUUCUUGUUUCCAUAGAUUUCAUGCUUACCCACACCAUAUUUCAUACUUAUUAAACCCACAUGCAUUCAUUCAAUAGAUAUUUCCAUUAGCAUUACUCUCGUAGUCCUAUUCAUAGUAAUGACUUAAUAUAUCUGAUUGGGUUAUUUUUAGUAUAGUUGUUCUUUAGUACAUGACUUCUAUGAAGUAUCUCUAUUAGUUUUACCAUGCAUAUUUUCUAUGCUAUUGCUGGGGAGUAAUUUUAUUUUUUAUUUUUUCUUGCCAUUGUAGGUAUACUAUCUCAACCUUACGUGGUAAGGAGACCGCCAUCCCCUCUUCGAAGAAAAGGAAAGGAGCAACGUCAUCCUCAGGUCCUACCGCUGAGAUCCGUUACCCUUUCCUCCAGUUUCCCUUUGGACCCCAGGAGGAACUAUUUCAGAUAUUACGGGUCCGACCCUUAGGUGUAGGCCACUGCAUUGACUGGGCUGCACUUAAAAAAAUUCAAAUGGCUGACGUGGUCCAAGCCCUCCUGACGACUACCCGUGGAGGCUUUUCUUUGAGAUCAUCGAGCCGAUGUACCACGAGCUCACAAUGGAACUCUACUCGACCUUCCAUCUUCAAGUCGCCAUGAUAAACUGCGACGAUCCUAGAACGGUCCAAUUCCACCUCAGUGGUCUAGUGCGCCAGUUGAGCGUACCGAAGUUCAGAAUUGCACUAGGGCUGUAUAUGGAAGAGUUCAUGGAUGACAACGAACUUGACACCCUCUAUUGCCACAUCCACUACUCUCUCUCCAAAUGCUGGAAGGACUUUGUCCCUGCCUCGGCCACCUAUGAUCCUAACUACUCUAAGGCAUCAGCCCUCACCCCAUCCCUGUGAUACCUACACGCCAUCUUAGCCCACACUCUGACAGGGCGGCGAGAGAGCACCGGCAUCAUCAACACUCACGACGCCUACUUUUUAUAGAGCAUGGCAAACGGGCACGUCUUCGACCUUGCCUAUUUCAUUGCUCUCGCCAUCCGCCAUCAGACGGAGCGGCAUAGGAGAGGAGUUAUCACCAUUAGCCACUAUGUGACUCGACUGGCACGGCACUUCGGGCUCCUCAACACAGCAGCAUAAUCAUCCUCACUCACUCUCAUUGGUCAUAUGUCCCCUCAAGGCAUCUCGAGUAUGCUACAUAUGAGGAUGCUCGAGAAACGACGUGGAACUUACCCUCCUCAGUACCGCCUCGUCCAGUCCACUAAAGAGGAGAACCCAUAAGACAUUACUGAUGAUGUCCCUCCACGUCAUGAGGACCCACCGUCUCAACCAUCACCCAUCCAUCGUCCAGUUCAUGCGGUGGCUUCAUACUCUGAUAUCUCUAAGCACCUUACUCGAUUUAAGCAGCAGUGUUUUCAGUGCUUUGAUCACAUUGAUGCUACUCUUCAUCAGAUUUGUCAGCACCUUCACAUCUCAUCGCCACCACCACCUCGCGAACCAUCCGGCGAUGCUGAUGUUUAAAGACUUUUUAUUUUUUAUUUUUAUUUCCACUUUUAUCUUUAUUUAUCUUCUUUAAGUAGUUUUUAUUUUAUUUUCCUUUAAUAUUAUUUCAAUUUUAGGUUUUAUAAUUUUUAUUGAAUAAUUUAUAGUUUUGGCUAUUUUAUUACGAGUAAUUAUGCUUCCUUAUAUUUCCUAAAGAGUUCUUGAUUUUAUCACAGUUAUAAAGAGCUCUAAAGCUCAUCAUCACUUAGGAACUAAAAAAUCACUGGAAAAGGUUCUCCACAACUGUCAAGUCCUGCUCGACCACGACCACAGCUACUACCAGAUAUAAUAUUCUGUUGGCGCAGGACUUAUGGACUAAUGAACCUCUACCACCACCGGAGUAUCCUCCUCCACUCUCAUCAUUGCCUUGGCUGAUUAUUCUCCAUAACUCCAAUUGAAGGAGUUCAUUCAUCAUUCAGGAAGUUUAACUUCUCUUCUUAUCUUAUGAGUAUUUAUCUAUAUUUUUCAGUAUAUCUAUCUUUGUACAUUGAGGGCAAUAUACAUCUUAAGUGUAGAGGGUCUUUUAUAUCAUUAUCAGAAAAAUCCCUGAAUUUUAUCUUGUUCUCAAAUCAUCUUCUCAUAUCAUUAUUAGAAUAAAAUUUGAUUAAUUUAUGAUUGUUAUUGAUAUGUCUUCAAUUAAAACAUAGGCAUUCAUGUAUUGAUUGUUUAAACUUUAAGGAAUUAGAUAAUCAAGCAGGAUAAGUUGAUUUUUGAGAAUUAAAAAUUUUUAGGUUGUUUCCCCAAGUUUAGGUAUUAUCUCGAGUUAAAAUUCACAGGGUUAACAUCAACAAGCCAUAAUUUCUGUAAGAUCUUGAGCCUUUAGAGCAACUAUUAUUUCUUUCAUGCUCACUGUUAUUAUUGAUAAUGAGUGUGUCAAUAUUGAUUUAUUAUUCUAGAACUUGCUUGAUUAUGCAUGUCAAGACCACACCCUUGAGUUAAUAUGUCAAUAUGAUAAAGGCACCUAGGUUUAACCCACUCACUCCAUAAAAGCAUACCUUCAUAAUUUACCCUUAGUGAACCCCUUUGAGCCUAACAAGCCAUUAAUUGAUUUACCCUCAAUGUUAACCCAUAACACAUUAUUGUUGAAAUCCCCUAAUUUGAUCCCUAUUUUUGUCGAGAUUUGAUUUGAAUUAUUGCAUAGCUAUGUUUUAUUCUUCGUUGCAAUAAUUAGCAAAGUCCUAUGUUAUUUCACUUGUUUAUUUCACUUGUUCCUAAAAAAAAAUACAAUACUUACUUACAUAUUAAUAGUAAUUCGUCAUUUUUGAGCUUAAGUGUUAAUUCCAUAUUCUAAGAAGAAGCUCACUCGUAUUCAACUUAUAAUUAGUUGUUUUUCUAGUUAGGUGAUUUUUUUAAUUCAAUCUCGAUUCUAACCUUUCCUUUUAGCUUGUGACCACACCCCCUAACCAAAGCCACGUUACAACCCUCUAAAGACCUUUUGAUUGAUGUAUCAUCUCAAUAUAUAGUGGUGGAGAUUUGAUUUUCUGCAAGCCUAUGGUAAUAACUUUUCAUAUUGACUAAUGAGUGCUUCAUUUAUUAUCCUUAAACACCUCGAGUGAUUUGAGUGAAUCUUUAGUGAGGAUGUUAAACUCCGUGAUAUUUUGAAUCAAAGGUAAUCACUUAGAUGAGGGGAGACACCUAUGUUUUCGUGAUGAAAUGCUCAACUUGGAAUGUUUGAAACUUUGAUAUUCUUCUAGUUGAAUUCUCCAUGUAUGAUUACUUAUGAUUUAUUUUAAGAUAUUAUUGAUAGAGAUUAUAGAUUGAGAAGAAUUUAUUUUGAUUGUGAGUUGAGGAUUUUGCUUGAGGACAAGCAAACGCUUAAGUGUGAGAGUUUUUGAUAAACCGCAAUUUAUACAUAUUUUUAUCCCAUGCUUAGCACAUUUAUAUAUGAUUUCUCCUUAGAUUUGGUGAAUUUGAUGCACCAAAUCCUUUAAUUUCAUGUUUUAUACUUAGGUGACCAUAGCAGAGUAAAAAGAGCGAGAAACAGGUCGACAACGGAGAAAAAUAGACCCACAUGGGAAAUCGACACGGCCUGGACUUCCUCACACGGGUAAGCCACACGGCCAUGUCCAUUUGGCAGGAUCGGCGUACAAUUUACACAGGUAGACUACAUGCCCACGAUUAUUUAGCAACCUUCACCACGGUUUGGAGCAAUCGCACACGGGCGUGUCACACAGGCGUGUCCCUGUCGAGCCCAAGUAAAGUCCUAUUCGAAAAAGGCCACUUUUGAUGGCUCUUAGGCAUUCUAAAGCCUAUUUAAACACCUGAGGAGGCAGUUAGAACGGGGGGACACAGAGUAGGAAGCAAUGAAUUACUCGAAAAAAGCCGAUUGAUCCAUCUCAGAAGCUGGAUUAUUCAUCAAGACUGAAGAUCUCUCUUCAAUUUCCAUUCAAGAGUUUUGGGUUUUCUUUAUGUUUUGUAUUCAUUAUUCUUCUAAGGGGAAUGAAACUUAAGACGAAUCUUGUUAUUAUUAUCUAAAUUAUAAGAUAAAUAUUUGACUUGUUCUUAAUUAUGUAUUCUUAAUUCUUGUCUUAAUAUUUCAGGAUAUUGAUUCAGGUUAAUGCGCUUAUUCAGAGGAGCAAAAGUCCCUGUCUAAGAGUAAAUUUGUCAUAAUUAAGUGGAGUUGAUUGCACGCCUAGAGAUAGGGUGACAAGAUUUUACCAGAUUAUGGUGAAACCUAAUAAGGGAUCCAUAGAUCGAGUAAAUGCAACACUAGGGCGUUAAUUACAAAGAGAUUUCAAUUAAUCAACCUAGGGUUAGAUGUUAUUAGUCUCGAGAGAGAUAAUAAUAUAACUUAGGGAUUUCUACGAAUCAAGUUAAAUGAACAAAUCGCCUGAUUCAGAGUCAAAUAACAAGUGAAUCUAGGUGGAUUUUUCCUUGGGUAUUGUCUUUAUUAAUCGAAUUUUCUAAAAAGUAUUUUCCCAAUUUUUAGGCUAGAUAAUAAAAAGAAAGUAAUUACUAGUACUCUUGGUUCCUUUGGGUUCGACAAUUCGGUCUUGUUAAAGCUAUACUACUGUUCGAUAGGUACACUUGCCUUCAUCGUGAUAAUAGUUGGUUUUAAGAACGAUCAUUUAUAAAUUAUUUAAAACUUAUCGCAAAUAUCAUAAAUCAGUAGUCGUUUUACAUGGAUUUAUCUCAUUAAAUGAAUGUCUCAGAUGGUUGACUAUUUUUUUCAGUUUCAAAAAAUGGUCAAAACUCAGUUUGGGAAAGAUAUUAAAAAUUUUCAAAGUGAUUGGGGUGGUGAGUUUCGUGCCUUCGCAUCAACUCUUGCUAUUCAUGGGAUACUUCAUCACCUCUCCCGUCCACAUACAUCCGAGCAGAACGGUAUAGCCAAACCAAAACAUCAAGACAUUGUUGAGAUAGGUCUUACUCUCUUGACCCAAGCUAAUAUGCCCAUGGAUUUCUGGGGUUACGUGUUUUGCAGUGUCGUUUAUCUCAUUAAUCGUCCACCUACCUUGGUUUUGAAAGGUCAAUCUCCGUAUUAAGUUCUUCAUGGUAGUGACCCUACAUAUGAUCAUUUACGGGUGUUUGGGUGUUAUUUCUUUCCAUACUUGCGUCUGUUUCUGCAACAGAACUUGGAUUUUUGUUCUCAGCCUUGCACAUUUUUAGGGUAUAGUUCUCAACAUAAAGGCUAUCACUGCCUCACACCAGAUGGUAAGGCCAUUGUCUCUUAUCAUGUUGUGUUUGAUGAACGUCGAUUUCUCUUUUUUUUUAUGUUGCAAACACCGUCCAGUCAGGUCCAUGUAUCUCUACAUAUGUUCCUAUUGCUCAGUCUUCAUCUGCCGCGCCACGGCAUCCUCGCUUGUUCAGCCCAUUAAGUCCUCUUGACUCUUACUCCUAAUUGUAGUUCCAAGACGUCUAUUUCAGUUGACUCUCCGACUGAAUUGGGUUCUACUCAUGAGGUGCACCGGCUCUUCACCUCAUCUCCUGAAUCACGUCAAUGCGACUCUACUACAAUUCCCUCGGUUAUUCCAUCUAUUUUUCUAGAGAAUACUCAUAACAUGAUUACUCGGUCUAAGGCUAGUAUUUCUAAACCCAAAGCUUUCUCUGUUGAAACUGUCGACUAUGAGCCACACACGAUUGAUGAGGCACUCGCUAGUAAGGAAUGGCAAUUAGUUGUCCAAGCUGAGUUUGUUGCUCUAAUGGCUAACUCUACCUGGGAGCUUGUUCCCUUACUUCAUUGUCGAAAAGUGAUUGGGUGUAAGUGGCUUUUUAAAAUAAAAAAAAUCCUGAUGGGGCUAUCACUUGGCACAAGGCUCAGCUGGUAGCAAUGGGUUGUUCUUAGGUACCUGGGUGUGAUUUCAAAGAAACCUUUAGUCUAAUGGUUACACCUACUACUAUUAGAAAAAUAUUGUCUAUUUCUGUUUCCAAUGGGUGAAAACUUCGUCAAAUCGAUGUGAAUAAUACCUUUUAAGAUGGUGAUCUCACUGACGAAGUGUUUAUGCAACAACCUUCAGGCUAUGUUCAGAUUGGUCCAUAUCGUGAGCUAUUGGUGUGUCGUCUGAAAAAGGAGUUGUAUGGAUUACGACAAGCUCCACGUGCCUGGUUUGAUAAAUUGAAACAUUUUUUCUACCAGAUUUGUGUUAUCCAAAUCUGAUGCAUCCCUGUUUGUUCGAGUUACGUACGUAUCCACUAUUUAUGUUCUAAUCUAUGUGGAUGAUAUUACCGUUACUGAAAGUACGACUGACGGUAUAAAUGACUUUAUUCAACAGUUACAUAAUAAGUUUUCCCUUAAAGAUAUGGGAGAUCUUCACUACUUCUUAGGUAUUCAAGUCACUCGGUCAUCCACUAGAAGUCUUCAUUUGUGCCAACGCAAAUACAUCUAGGAUCUGCUUGACAGGAGUUCCUGGGCUAACGUGAAAAGUGUUCACACACUGAUGGUUAGUUCUUUUACAUUGUCUAAAGAUGAGAAAAAUCACCUCGUUGAUCCCACUAAAUAUAGGAGCCUUGCCGGAGCAUUACAAUAUGUGGUCUUAACUCGGCCUAAUAUUGCUUAUGCGGUAAAUCGUGUUUGUCAAUUCAUGCAUAUGCCUACUACGGUACAUUUGGUGGCUUUGAAAAUAAUCUUGCGCUAUUUACGUGGCACUAUUGAUCAUGGGUUAAUUUUUCGUCCGUUCGACAGAUUGUCUUUAGUUGGCUAUGCUGAUUCCAACUGGGGACUGGAUUUUGAUGAUCGUCAGUCAACCAUAGACUAUUGUGUGUAUUUUGGACAUACAUCCAUCUUUUUGUGUUCUAUGAACCAACAAGUUAUUUUUCACUCCACGGCUGAUGCGAAGUAUCGUAGUCUAGCAGUAGCUACCAGUGAUGUUACUUGGUUAGCCUCUCUGUUAACGAAUUUAAAAAUUUGUUCUGCAAAUCCACUUACUAUUUGGUGUGACAAAUCUAGUGCAAUAGUGGUUGCUGCUAAUCCGGUUUUACACUCCAAAUUUAAACAUGGCGAGCUUGAUCUAUUUUUUGUUCGCGAAAAUGUCACUAAUGGUUCUCUCAUUGUUGGCGAAGUUCCGGCAUGUGAUCAGGUUGCUAGUAUUCUCACAAAACCAUUGUCCAUCUCUACUUUUGCUAGGUUUCAUAGUCUGCCUCAAGUCUUACCUCUUGAGAAGCUGGAUGAAGCCGGGUGAAUAUUAGAGUAUAGACUCUAUUAGUCUGUUACCAUUUUGUUAUACAGGCUAGAAUAUUGUUAGUAACCAGUUAGCAGCAAUUAGUCAUAGCAGUUAGUCAUACAAGUAUAAAUUCUAUUUAUGUAUAGUUCAAAGGUAAGCUAAUAAUACCAGAAGAGAUUUAACGUGUUCAUUCUACUUUCUUUGUUAUUCUUCAUAAUACAGUUGUUAACAGGCUUGAUAUCAUCUCUUAGAGAAAACUAGGAGAGAUAAGAGUAAGAGUAUGAGCAAACUAUGGAUAAGGCUCUACCAUAAUACCUUAGAUGCAGUUAAAGUAAGAGUAAGAGCCAACUUGUUUGGCUUGAUAGCAUCCCCUUAUAGAAAAAGCUCUACCGCAUGGCAUUAGAGCAAUAAAAGUAACACUUAAUUUCUUGGUUGAUAGCAUCUCGUAGGGGAAAAAGGUUUACCAUGUGACAUGAAAGUAAUUAAAGUAAGAUUAAGAGCUAACUUGUUUGUCUUAAUCGCAUUGUUUAAGAGAGAUCCAAAUAAAUUUACUCAAAAUAUGUUAAUCAAAUAAUGCAAAUUACAAUGUUUUGUCAAUUUUUCCUUUAAUUGUAACUGGGUUAAAGUUGGUAGUUGUAACUGGUACUAAUAGAAUAGAUUUGGUAGAAAUGGUUGAAAGCAACAUAAGCAAAGAUGACUUUGAUGUCAUUGUAUUGACCACGUGGGAACUAUAGAAUGUAGAGAAUAGUAUGGUGAUUGGCAUCAGAAUGUUGCUAACUUUGAGGACAGUAGAUAAGGAUGGAUCCAAAGGGGCUGUGGGCGGCCCCCUUGAAAUUUUCAAAUUUUUGAAUUUAUAUAUAAAUUAUCAUGUAUUUUAGAUUUGGUGUCCACAUUGUAUAACAUUCACCCCCUUUGCCAAAUUGUAUUUCAUAUCAUUCGCCCCCUUAAACCAUAAGGUUAUACUUUAUAUUAACAAAGUAUUUUCCAUUUUUUUUAAUUAUAUAAAUUUAAUAAUAACAAUAAUAAUAAAAUAUUAAUGUAUGAUAGGCAUUGAAAGACUAAACUUAUAGGUCCAAUUUGGACUUUAAAGCCAAAUUCUAUAAUUAAUUAAUUGAUUUGGCUCAUACCUAUACAUAUUAGGUUAGCGACUUUCUUGUAUUUUGAUUUGUAUGUCUUCUUAAGGAAUUAUCUUCCUUUGGUAAAGUGUUGACACUACCAAGAGAAAAAGAAAGGAUUUUGAUGACGAGACUAAGAGUAUAGAGCAAAAAUAUACAAAUUAUCUUCCUCUUGGCUCCUUAUGCAAAAAACCUCUCGGUAAAUUUUUUGCAUAAAUUAUGUUCUUUAUUUAUUUGACUUAUUUUUUUUAUUUUUUCCUAAUAUAUUUUGUUUAAUAUAUUAUUAAAAUCAUCAGGUUUUUCGAUUAAAUAAUGGUCAAUAAAAAGAUCGAAUCUAUUUUUUUAAAAAAAAGGUGUCAGAAAGCAAUAGUGAUCAACCAGUUCCUUAACCUUCUGUUAUUCGUGAAGAAAAACCAAAUAUUGGAUAUUCCCAAGCUCCUGAAUGAAAUAUUAGGUCUUAUCAAGCCCAAACUUUUGAAUGCGAUAUGGAGUCUUCCCCAGUUCUUAAACUAGAUUGUUACACUCCUUACCUGAUCCGAUCACCAAAUCCAUGUAGAGAGUACCACAACUUAAACCAUAUGAAUUGAAUAAUAAAUAUUUGAAAUUUAUUAAAGUAUCGAGUUCUUGGUGUAACCCUCAGUAUAAUAAUAUGAAACAAUCAAAUCAAUGAUACGCCAGGAACAAACAUUUUUAGGAAAAACACAUGGCGGAAACCUUACAAAAGUUUAUAAGUUUAUAUGAAAUGUAAGAUGAGUUAAUCCCAUACAAUAGUUUCAAGUGCAUUUUUGGCAGUUAAAACAACACUCUAAAACUAUUUGGUGUAGAUGCCAAUGAGACAAUCAUGUGGAAUAAGAUAUAGUAGCAUAAACACAUACAUCACUUACCAUGUCAUUAUAACAUAUACUAACCACAUAAACAAAUUUCUCGAGCUGCGAACGAACAAGUUUACCCAAACAUCUGGGGUUGGUAGAUAGCUUAUCAGAAAAGCCCUCCAAAUCCUAGAGUUCACCAAAACCUGGAGUUCGCCAAAUAGAGAUUCCCAUAGAAUACGCCAAACACACAACCAAAAAACAAAUACUCUACUAACUUACUUAUUUUUUAUUCUUAGCAUAAACAACUAUGCGCCAAAAAGUAACUUGAUACAUUAUCCAUCAGGCGGGUUGUUACAAUUCUCCCUCACUUAGAAAAUUUUGUCCUCAAAAUUCUUAACGGUGAAUAACUGAGGAUAUUGUUCUUUUAUUGAACUCUCUCUUUCCCAAGUGGAUUCUUUUUUAUUGUGAUUUCUCCAUAAUACAUUAACAAAAGGAAUUCUUUUUCUUCUCAACUUUUUUACCUCCCUUGCUAAUGCGAACAGGUUCUUCUUCAUAGGAUAUGUUUGGCUCCUUUUCUAAUGCUUUGACUUGUACCACAUGAUCUGGUUUGGAUUGAUAUUUUCUUAACACGAACACAUUAAUCACAUUGUGUAUCUUUGAUAACUCUAGUGGCAACACCAAUCUGUAUGCCACUGGACCAACCAGUUCCAAAAUCUCAUAUGGUCCUACGAAAUGCAGACUUAAUUUCCCUUUUUAUUCUAACCUUAUGAUAUUCUUCCAAAGAGAAAACUUCAUAAAUACAUUGUCACCCACUUCGAAAGAGAUUUCUUUCCUUUUUAGAUCAACAUAAGCUUUCUGACGAUCUUAAGUUACUUUCAGAUGAUUUCAAAUAAUAGAGACUUUCUCUUCUGUUUCUUGUACUAAAUCAAAACCAACUAUUUUCCUUUCACUGAGUUCCAUCCAACAGGUGGGAGAUCUACGCUUUCUUCCAUACAAAGCUUCAAAUGGUGAUAUUUCUAGAUUGGCGUGAUGACUAUAAUUAUACACAAACUUUGGCAAAGAAAGAUAUCUUUCUCAAUUCAUUCUGAAAUCUAUAAUACAACUUCUGAGCAUGUCUUCCAAAACUUGAAUUACUCUUUCAAAUUGUUCACCUGAUUAGGGAUGAAAGGCAGUACUGAAUCAUAUCUUGGUUCCUAACGAUUCUUGUUGUUGUCUUCAAAAUCUUGAUGUAAACAUUAGGUCUCGAUCUAAAACUACGGAUGUUGGAAUCCCAUGAAGACAUACAACUUCAGAAACGCAGAGCUUAGCCAACUUUUCCAAUGAGUAAUUUGUGCGGGCAAACAAGAAAUAGACUGACUUAGUAAGUCGAUCUACAAUUGCGCAAACUGAAUUCUUCUUUGAAAGGCUGAAAGGGAGAGCCAAAACAAAAUCCAUGGUGAUGUUAUCCCACUUCCACUUAGGUAUCUCUAAAGGGUACAACUUGCCUAAGGGAACCUGAUGUUCUGUUUUAAUCCGCUGACAUGUCAAAGAAAUGGAGAUGUACUCUGUUAUUUCUUUCUUCAUUCCAGGUCACCAAUACAAACUUCUCAAAUUACGAUACAUUUUAUGUAAUGCUCUCAACCCGACUCGAUAUGUCGAGUUUGGAUCUCGGGUAUUACUAUACACAGUACUUAGUAAAAUAUCAAAAUAGCUGACAAAUACUCUUUACUAAAAACAUUUUCUUAUUAUUUUAACCGAAAGAGUAAAUAUUUAAUAACAAGGGUAAAUAUUAGAAAUAAAAUAAAUUAUUACAUCAGACUUGGUACAACUGAUUAUAGUAUAAAAUUUUGUUAAAGACAGACUCUUGGGGAAUAACCCUAAUCUAUGCCACUUUUCCACUAUAUACAUAAUAACCCACUUCAGCACUAUCUUGGCAUACUCCUAGCAUCGUCACUCCUAACGCAUUCUCUACCCAUACACCUAAAAACAACAACAUUAUAAGCUCAAGAGAACUUAGUGAAUUUUAUCCCAAAAAUACCUUGGCGAGUACUUUAAUUAUUUGACUAACAUCUGUGCGCCAUCUAUCUUUUUAAACCACCUUCUUCUGAAUCAGACGGAUACUAUUACAGAUUCGACUUUCACUUAUACGCCAGCUAUCAUACUCUUAACACACUCACUUAUUCUAGAACAGUUUUUCACAUAUAUUAAUCAUUGACAGAUACAUACAUUUUUGGUGAAUACUUACGCAGAUCUAAAUACCAUCAAACUACUAAUCAAAUCAUACAUUGAUUCGAUACCAUACAAACUCCCAUUGAUAAUGUACUACACAAUUUAUUCAAAUGAAUUUUCCACUACUUUGUUACAGGACCCCAGAAAAUCAUCAUAACAAUAACUCAAUUUCCAUAUGAUUUCAAAAAAGGAUAUAAUACAACCCAAAUAUGGCGAAUUCCAGACAACUCAGAUUCAACAACUGUAUAACAUAGACAAAAUCACAUUGAUAAUUUCUUAUGUCCCAAAUAACUAUGAAUACGUCCAUAUUCAAUACUAACAGAUAAUCAUGACGGAUACCCUUCUUAUACAUAUAUGCAUUUCUUUUCUAAAAAUCUCUUAAGACUUACUCAGUUAUAUCACAGAUCUUAUUCAACCUUUAACUUCAGACGUAUCAUAAACCUAUCAGAUCAAUAUCUGUCACAAAGAAAUUGGCAUUUACCCAGAUUUUACAAUAAAGGCAGAUAAUCAUAUUAUAGUAGACAAACUUAACUGAAAGUGCUACAAAGGCCAAACAAAAUAUGCCAUAAAGGCUUCAUACAAAAUCAUGUGUUUACUAUCUCGACGGAUGAUACAUGAUAUUCGUGACAGGUUUUAAAAAUUUAUAAUUAAUCGUUCUUUAAAUUAACUAUUAUCACGAUGAAGGCAAGUGUACCUCUCGAACAGUAAUAUAGCUUUAGCAAGACCGGAUGGUCGAACCCAAAGGAACCAAGAGUACUAGUAAUUGCUUUCUUUUUAUUAUCUAGCCUAAAAAUUAAGGGAUUUAUUUAUCUAAUUAAUUAACUAAACUAAGGGUGCACAGAAAGAAAAUUGGGGAAAAGCUUUUGGGAAAACUCGAUUGAUUAAGACAAUACCCAAGAAAAAAUCCACCUAGACUUCACUUAUUAUUUGACUCUAAAUCAGACGAUUUAUUCAUUUGACUUGAUCCGUAGAAAUCCCUAAGUUAUAUUAUUAUCUCUCUUGAGACUAAUAACGUCUAACCCUAGGCUGAUAAUUGAAAUCUCUUUCUAAUUAACACUCUAGUGUUGCAUUAACUCGAUCUAUGGACUCCCUUAUUAGGUUUCACCCUAAUCCAGUAAAAUCUUGUCACCCUAUCUCUAGGCGUGCAAUCAACUCCGCUUAAUUAUGAAAAAUUUACUCUUAGAUAAGGACUUUUGCUCCUCUAAAUAAGCACAUUAACUUGAAUCAAUAUCUUGGAAUACUAAAACAAGAAUUAAGAACACAUAAUUAAGAACAAGUCAAAUAUUUAUCAUACAAUUCAGAAAAUAAUAACAAGAUCCGUCUUAGGUUUCAUUCCCCUUAGGUAUUUUGAGGUUUUAGUUCAUAAUUAUGAAAGAAAACAUCUCAAAAGAAUAAUGAUAACAAAACAUAAAGAAAACCCAAAACUCCUGAAGGAAAUUGAAGGGAGAUCCUCAGUCUUGACGAUGAAUCCGGCUUUUGAAAUGGAUCAAUCGGCUUUCCUUGAGUAAUUCAUUGCCUCCUACUCCCUAUGUAUCUUCUAAGUGCCUCCUCAGGUGUUUAAAUAGGCUUUAUAAUGUCUAAAAGCCCUCAAGAGUGGCCUUUUCUGAAUAGGACUGAACUUGGGCUCGAUAGGGACACGCCCGUGUGACACGCUCGUGUGCAAUUGCUUCAGACCGUAGUCAAGGCUACUAAAUAGGCAUGGGCGUGUGGUCUACCCGUGUGAGGAAGUCCAGGCCGUGUUGAUUUCUGAUGUUGGUCCAUUUUCUUCAUUUUCAGCCCGUUUCUCGCUCUUUUUACUCUCUUAUGCUCACCAAAGUAUAAAACAUGAAAUUAAAGGAUUAGGAGCAUCGAAUUCACCAAAUCUAAGGAGAAUUCAUCCAAAAAUAUGCUAAGCAUGAGGUAAAAAUAUGUAUAAAUUAUGGUUUAUUAAAUACCCCCACACUUAAGCGUUUGCUUGUCCUCUAGCAAAAUCCUCAACUCAAAAUCAAAAUAAAUUCUUCUUAACUUGUAACCCCUAUCAAUAAUAUCUCAAAAUAAACCAUAAGUAAUCAUGUAUUGAGAAUUCAACUAGAAAAGCAUUAAAGUCUCAAACAUUCCAAGUCGAGCAUUUUAUCACGAAAACAUAGGUGUUUCCCCUCAUCUAAGUGAUUACCUUUGAUUCAAAAUAUCACAAAGUUUUAACAUCCUCACUAAAGAUUCACUCAAAUCACUCGAGGUGUUUAAGGAUAAUAAAUGAAGCACUCAUUAGUCAAUAUGAAAAGUUAUUACCAAAGGCUUGUAUGAAAGUCAAAUCUCCACCACUAUAAAUUGAGAUGAUACAUCAAUCAAAAGGUCUUUAGAGGGUUGUAAAGUGGCUUUUGUUAGGGGGUGUAGUCACAAGCUGAAAGAAAGGUUAGAAUCAAGAUUGAAUUGAAAAAUUACCUAACUAGAAAAAUAACUAGUCAUUACUUGAAUACAUGUAAACUUCUUCUCAAAAUAUGAAAUUGAACACUUAAGCUCGAAAACAACGAAUUACUACUAAUAUAUGUAUGUAUUAUAAUUUUUUUUAAGAACAAGUCAAAUAAUAUAGGUUAAUUAUCAAAAAUAAAACAUAGCUAAGUAAUUUAUUCAAAUUAAAUCUCGACAAAAAUUGGGAUCAACUUGAUUGAGGGGAUUUCAACAGUAAUAGGUUAUAGGUUAAUAUUGAGGGUAAAUCAAUGGAUAGUUUGUUAGGCUCAAAGGGGUUCACUAAGGACAAAUUAUGAAGGUAGGCUUUUGUGGAGUGAGUGGGUUAAACCUAAGUGCCUUUAUCAUCUCGACAUAUUAAAUCAAAUGGUGUGGUCUUGACAUGCAUAAUCAAGCAAGUUCUAGAAUAACAAAUCAAUACUGACGCACUCAUAAUAAAAGUGAGCAUGAAAGAAAUAAAAUAUGAUCUAAAAGCUUAAAAUCUCACAAAAAAUUAUGGCUUUUUGAUGUUGAACCUGUGAAUUUCAACUCAAGAUAAUACCUAAACUUGGGGAAACAACCUAAAAAUUUUAAAUACUCAAAAAUCAACUUAUCAUGUCUGAUUUUCUAAUUCCUUCAAAGUUUAAACGGUCAAUGCAUAAAUACCUAUGUUUUAAUUCAAGACAUAUCAAUAAAAAUCAUAAAUUAAUCAAAAUUCAUUCUAAUAAUGAUAUGAGAAGAUUAUUUGAGAACAAGACAAAAUUUAAGGAUUUUUUUGAUAAUGAUAUAAAGGCCCCCCACACUUAAGAUGUACAUUGCCCUCAAUGUACAAAGUUAGAUUUACAACGAUAUAGAUAUAAGAUCAUAAGAUAGGGAGAGAAGUGAAACUUCCUGAAUAAUGAAUGAACUCCUUGAAUUGGAGUUAUGGAGAAUAAUCGGCAAAGGCAAUGAUAAGAUUGGAGGAGGAUACUUCGGUGGUGGUAGAGGUUGGGUUCCACAACCUCAGUGUCCAGCGAAGAAGUUAUCGUGGUGGUCGAGCAAGACAUUACAGUUAUGGAGAACCUUUUCCAGUGGAGUUUCAAGUUUCUAAGUGAUGGUGAGCUUUGGGGCUCUUAGUAACUGUGAUAAAAUCAAGAACUCUUUAAGAAAUGUAAGGAAGCAUAAUUACACGUAAUGAAAUAGCUGAAACUAUAAAUUAUUCAAUAAAAAUUAUAAAACCUAAAAAUGAAAUAAUAUUAAAGGAAAAUAAAAUAAAAAGUACUUAAAAAUGUAAAUAAAAAUAAAAUAUAAAAAGUUUUUAAACAUCGUCAUCGCUGGAUGGUUCGCAAGGUGGUGGUGGUGAUGAGAUGUGAAGGUGCUGACAAAUCUGAUGUAGAGUAGCAUCAAUGUUAUCAAAGCGCUGAAAACACUAUUGCUCAAAUCAAUAAGGCACUCAGAGAUGUCAGAGUAUGAAAUCGCCGCAUGAACUGGACGAUAGAUGGGUUGUGGCUGAAAUGGUGGGUCCUCAUGACGUGGAGGGACAUCAUUAGUAAUUCCUCCGGGUCCUCCUCCUCGGCUGACUGGAUGAGGCGGUACUGAGCAGAAUCGAUUCCAUGUCAUUUCUCGAUCAUCCUCAUAUGUAGCAUGCUUGAAAUACCCUGUGGGGACAUCUGGCCGAUGAGAGUGAGCGAGAAUGAUUGUGCCACUGUGUUAAAGAGUCCAAAGUGCCGAAUCAAUCGAGUCACAUAGGGGCCAAUAGAGAUGACUCCCUUCCUAUGCCGUUCCGUCUGAUGGCGAAUGGCGAAGGCAAUGAAAUAGGCGAGGUCGAAGAUGUGCCCAUUCGCCAUGCUCCAUAAAAAGUAGGCAUCGUGAGUGUUGACAAUGCCGGUGCUCUCUUGUCUUCCUGUCAGAGUGUGGGCCAAGAGGGCGUGUAGGUACCUCAAGGAUGGAGGGAGAGUUGAUGUUUUGGAACGGUUAGGGUCGUAGGUGGCCGAGGGAGGGACGAGGGCCUCCAGCACUUCGAGUGAGAGUAAUGGAUGUGGCGAUGAAGGAUGUCGAGUUCGUUGUAGUCCAUGAACUCCUCCGUAUACAGCCCUAGUACAAUUUUGAACUCCGGUACGCUCAAUUGGCACACUAAACCACCAAGACGAAACUGGACCGUUGUAGGAUCGUCGAACUCUGUCAUAACGGUUUGGAAGUGAAAGGUCGAAUAGAGUUCCAGUGUGAGCUUAAGGUAUAUCGGCUUGAUGAUCCCAAAGAAGAGCUCCCAUGGAUCAGUCGACAGAAGGGCUCUGACCGCGUCAACCAGUUGGACUUGUUCAAGUGCGGCCCAUUCAAUGCAGCGGCCCACACCUAAGGGUCAGGCCCGAAGUAUCUAAAAGAGUUCUUCCUAAGGUCCUAAGGGAAACUAAAUAAAGGGGUGCCUGAUCUCCACGGUAGGACCCAAGGAUGACACUGCUCAUUUCCUUUUCUUUGAAGCGGGGACAGCGAUUUUCUUACCAUGGUUUGACAUGAUAUCUGCAAUGGCAAGACGAAAAAAAUAAUAAAUAAAAAAGUAAACUUACUCUCCAACAAUAACAUGAAAAAACAUAUGCAAUGCAUGUUAAAACUAAUAGAGAUACUUUAUAGGAGUCAUGUACUAAAGAACAACUACGCUGAAAAAUAACCCAAUCAGAUAUAUUAAGUCAUUACUACGAAUAGGAAUAUGAUAAUAAUGCCUAGUGAAUGAAUGCAUAUGGAAAUGAUGAUAUGGAAAAUAGAAUGAAGUCCAUGGCAACACAAGAAUGGUGGUAUCAUAAUGCAUCAACUAAGAUAGCAAGAAACAAAGAGCAUAAGCAAGGCUAUUAUUAGAACUAUGAAGAUUAACAGUCAAAAUAAAACAAGAAAAAUCGAAUUCAUAAACGAAAUGAAGAGAAAAGAAUGGACAAACGCAAAAGCUUGGUAGAGGGAGGAGCUUGGGCCGUCGUUAGUGGUGUUGUGGUUGGCGCACGGGCGUGGCAGGAAGGCGUGGGCAAGAGUUACGGCGGCUACAGUUAGGGAUUUUGGGGAAGGGGAUGAUGAAUAUAAGGGGUUUAUUCAACUCGUGUUUAUCGCGAUUUUUAAAUUUGGGCACGUCUGAAAUUCGUCCCACGCCGAUGUCCUUUGGGCGUGUUGGUGCACAUGGCCGUGUCGUACGGUCGUGUCCUACUUCGUUCACUUCUCCCACGCUCGUGUGUAUAAGCACACGCCCGUGUUGUUUGAUCAGUCUUGAGCACGGUUGGUGGGCACGGGCGUGUCGCACACUUGUGCUAAAUUCUCAGUUUCAACCACGAUUUCAAGACACGGGCGUGUCACACGCCCGUGUUGAUUUGAAAGACUCACCCACGGCCACGUUACACAGCCGUGGCAACUUAUCACAUCUCGUGUUAAGCAAAAAUUUUUCCCUGUUUCCACACGGUCGUGUCGCAAGGCCGUGUCUCCUCCCGUAGUGUGAGCACGGCCUAAGGCACACCUGUGUGCCUCACCGUGUGAAUUAGAAAACCAGUAUUUCAAUGACUCAGUUAGUGAUUAGAUGUUAAAAACUAAAAUUUUAAAGAAGGUAACACUAUUAGUGCUCGGGUUACCUCGCGAAAAGCAUUUAUUUAUAGUCUAAGCUCGACUUACCUCUCUGUUGCAUAGUCAUGGUAGUGCAAGGAGUUUACACUCCUCAUCCCUGCUAUCAAUUUUAUCAAAAUAAGGUUUUAGACAAGUACUAUUUACCUUAAACGUACCGAAUUUGGGAUGAAUUACCUCGACUGUGCCGUAUGGGAAAAUACUAAGUACCGUAAGAGGGAUUUCUCCAUUAGGUUCAAAGGUGGCAAUCCGAAGGUCUGCUGCAUCUAAUAGUACUUUGUUUCCAACCUUAAGUUGAGUUGGAGAAAUAUUGAGCUCGUCAUGGCAUGGUUUUUUUUAUCGUGUGAUUUCGAUUUCUGUGUCUGCCAUUCAUCUAGUUCCUCAACCUGUAGCCUUGUUCUUCAUAGAUGGGUUCUUUGUCGUUAUUUGAAUGUGGCUCAAGUGUGUUUCUCGAAUGUGUUUCCUGCACAGAGGGUUUCACCACAUGAUCAGUACUGAUAGAAUUUCGAGCUUGAGGAGUAAUUGAUUCAUCACCCAUACGAAGUGUGAGUUUACUUGUGCCAACAUCAAUUAUAGUUUUAGCAGUUGCUAGAAAGGACCGUCUUAAAAUUAAAGGUGCGUCGCUAUCCUCUUCUAUGUCUAGAACAACAAAAUCAAUUGGGAAAAUAAAUUUAUCGAUUUUUACCAAUACAUCUUCAAUGAUACCCCUGGGAAAUCUAAUAGUUUUAUCAGCUAACUGAAUACUCAUCCUAGUUUGUUUAGGUUUCCCAAUACCUAGUUGUUUAAACAUUUUAUAAGGCAUGAAAUUGAUACUAGCCCCUAAAUCAGCCAAAGCGUUAUUAACAUCUAAGCUACCAAUUAAAUAAGGAAUCGUAAAACUCCUUGGAUCUUUCAAUUUGUUGGCCAUGAUGUCUCGUUGAGAGCACCAAAAAUAUCCUAUUCUCUGUAAAAUAGUAAAAAUAACAGUAAAAGGGAAGUAGGGUCGAAUCCUCAGGGACCGGAUUGUACAAAUGCUCGUUUCUUGAAAUCCUGGACAAUUUCUUGGCCAAGAAAACCUGCGUUCCUGAAAAAUAAAAAAAAUAAAAUUAAGAAUCUGGAAAAAAAAAUAGAAUUUAAAGGGAAUUGAAAUUGCGAAAUUAAAUAAAUUGUCGAAAUUAAAAUGAGGAAAAAUAAAUAGAGUUGGGAAAAGAGAAAGUUUCUUAUGUGGCGAGAUUCCAGGCUCCGGUUGUCUCGUUCCGCCUUGGGUUCAAUCCUUGGCCUUUAAGUAACCCUUCCCAACUCAAGUAAGCCAGUUAUAGUGGAAGAGGAUGCCUACGACCACCAGCUCCAAAGAUUAGACUUACGAUUUUUAGGGAACCUGACUCUAACCAGUAAUCUAUGCUAGAUCAACGCUUCUCAAUGGCGAAUCCCAAGUCAUUUUGUCUCUUUGGCUCGCCAACCUUUGACGCAGUAAAUUAACAAACCGACUGUGCAAUCCUUUCAAAACAUACAAAGCGGUCGCCUUUGCAUAUGCUGAAAAGCUUACUUCUUAAGGGCCAUGGACGGAAGCGUCAGCCCGUAGUGCGGAGAAACGAUGAAUACUUGGCGAGAAGGCUAAGUACGGGUUCUAGGCCUCAAAAACCCUUUUUUGGGGAAUAUUGACAACCUUCAGCUAGAUAGGUUUUAAUGGCUCAUGAUAAUGGUGGAAAAGGAAAUAAAUAUAAAAAUAGAAAAUAAAAUUUUAUUCAAAGAAAAUAUGAAGAAACAAAAGCCUAGACUUUUAGGGGGAGAGUGUUUAUAGAAAAAGAUGAACACCCCAAAUAGAGUCACUUCACCCCCUAUUUAUAGUGCUAGGGAGAUAAUCUAAUUUAACUUAAAUUCUAAAAAGAUAAAUACAUUUAAUUAAAGAUAAUUAAAAUAAAAUCCUAAAAUUAAAUAAUCCUAAUAAUUAUCUUAAUAAUAAUUAUUCUAAUAUAAAUAAAAUGGAGUCUUAUAAAAUAAAAUCUCUUCUUUUUGAGUUUUCAGUCCUUGUGUCAUCCAUGCUCGCACUUUUGGAACAAUCUUUUUCCUGUGUCGCAUAUCAGCCCAUUGUGUCUCCAAAUUCGCACUUUUGUCCCUUAAUUUUUCUUUUUGCCUCCAAAUCAGUCCUUUAAAGAUAAAAAGACAUAAAUAGCUAAAAUUAGUAUGAUCAAGCUCAGAAUAAAUAUAUAAUUAGCACAUAAAAACAUGACAUUCUAGAGUGUUAUCAGGCCAGCUUAUUUUGCAGAAUGGCUGAGCAAACUGCAUUCAUCUCCACAUGCGAUGCCUCAUCUAACUUCCGUUUAUUCGCUAAAAGCUCCUUUAAAAAUUUGACUGUGUUCAGCAUCUACGAAAAAGCUUCAAUAAACGGUAAGUUAAUAUGUAAUUUCUUUAAAAUUUUAAGGAAUUUACCGAAUUGUUCGUCUGAGUGGUCUUUCCUUGUCGUAUUUGGGUAUAGUACACGUGGUUUGUACUCUUUACUUACCUGUUUUUGCUCAUUAUGGUCCACCUUACCUCUACCUUUACUUACCACAAUUUCUUGCCUUAGUUCUGGUUGAGGUGCAACUAACCCUUCCUCAUCUUGAAUGGUAAUCGCAUUGAGCUAUUCCCUUGGAUUAGAUUUAGUGUUACUCAACAGGCUACCUUGUGGUCGUUCAGAUACCAAUUUAGCAAGCUGGCUUAUCUGAGUUUUGAGCCCUUGAAUCGACACUUGUUGAUUCUUAAGUGCUUUCUUGGUAUUCUAAAAACAAGUUUCUAACACUGAGAUGAAUUUUGUUAGCAUCUCCUCAAGGUUCAGCUUUUUCUCUUGUUGGUAAGGUGGUUGUUGGAAGCCUGGAGGUGGUGGGGGUCUCUGAUUUCCUUGGCCUCCCCAUGAAAAAUUUGGAUGGUUCCUCCAACCUGCAUUUUAAGUGUUACUAUAAGGAUUAUUUUAAGAUCGAGGAUUAUUACCCAUGUAAUUCAACUGCUCAUUUUCCAUACUGUGGCCAUAAGGUGGGUAUUCUGAAUUGCUUGAUCCACCUCUACUUGCUUCGCACUGCAUUACUAGGUGAACCUGUGAAUAACCAAAUAACCCGUCAAUUUUCUUAUUUAAUAGUUCUACCUGACUAGAGAGCAUCAUGACUAAAUCAACGUUAAAAACGUCAGUUGUUUUAGUCGGCUUUGUCCUCAUUACUUGCCACUGAUAAUUAUUCAGUGAGAUCUCUUCUAUAAAUUCAUAAGCAUCUUCAGAUGUCCUAUUAUUGAUAGUCCCACCAGCGGAUGCAUCGAUAAGUUGCCUUGUUGAGGGGUUUACACCGUUGUAAAACGUCUGAACUUGCUGCCAUAGAGGCAACCCAUGAUGAGGGCACCUUCUCAACAGAUCUUUGUAUCUCUCCCAUGCAUCAUAAAGCGUUUUUAGAUUCAUCUGCAUAAAAGAAGAGAUAUCACUACGUAAUUUAGUCAUUUUAGCCGACGGAAAAUAUUUUAAUAAGAAUUUUUUAUUGUCAUUUGUUCCCAAGUAGUGAUUGACACUCGUGGUAACGAGUUCAACCACUGUUUAGAUUUGUUCCUCAAUGAAAAGGGAAAUAACCGAAGACGAAUGGAAUCAUCAGAAAUGCCAUUAAUUUUAAAUGUGUCGCAAAACUCUAGAAAAUUUGCCAAGUGAUUGUUCCUCAUCCUGCAAACUAUCAAACUAAACAAAUUGUUGUAUCAUUUGAAUUGUGUUAGGUUUUAGUUCAAAAUUAUUUGCAGCAACAGCUGGCCUAACUAUACUUGACUCAGUUCCUCUUAAAGUAGGUUUAGCAUAAUCAUACAUAGUACGCGGAGUAGGAUUCUGAUUAGCAGCAAUCGCAAGAGGUAGCGGAUUUUCCUGAUUUUCAGUCAUCUCCUCAGUUGUGGUGGAAAUAUCGUCCUCUUGCUCUUUCUCUGUGUAUCUUAGGCUUUGCCUUAUUUCUCUUCGAUUUCUGUGAGCUGUGCGAUCGAUCUCACUAUCAAAAAGUAAUGGUCCUGACGGGUUUCUUCUAGUCAUGCACUAUAAAAACUUGCCAUAAGCGAAUAAACGAAAAAUAAGAAUAAGAAAAUAAAAUAAAAAUUCAAAUUGCAACAAAAGUAAAAUGGCUAAAGUAAUAAAAAUUGAGUGUUCCUAAUAUCUUCGUUCCCCGGCAACAGCGCCAAAAACUUGAUACGUGAUAUUCGCGACAGGUUUUAAAAAUUUAUAAUUAAUCAUUCUUGAAACUAACUAUUAUCACGAUGAAGCCAAAUGUACCUAUCGAACAGCAAUAUAGCUUUAGCAAGACCGGAUUGUCAAACCUAAAGGAACCAAGAGUAUUAGUAAUUGCUUUCUUUUUAUUAUCUAGCCUAAAAAUUAAGGGAUUUGUUUAUCUAACUAAUUAACUAAACUAAGGGUGCACAGAAAGAAAAUUGGGGAAAAGCUUUUGGGAAAACUCAAUUGAUUAAGACAAUACCCAAGGAAAAAUCCACCUAGACUUCACUUGUUAUUUGACUCUGAAUCAGACGAUUUAUUCAUUUGACUUGAUCCGUAGAAAUCCCUAAGUUAUAUUAUUAUCUCUCUCGAGACUGAUAACGUCUAACCCUAGGUUGAUUAAUUGAAAUCUCUUUCUAAUUAACACCCUAGUGUUGCAUUAACUCGAUCUAUGGACUCCCUUAUUAGGUUUCACCCUAAUCCGGCAAAAUCUUGUCACCCUAUCUCUAAGCGUGCAAUCAACUCCGCUUAAUUAUGAAAAAUUUACUCUUAGACAGGGACUUUUGCUCCUCUGAAUAAGGGCAUUAACUUGAAUCAAUAUCUUGGAAGAUUAAACCAAGAAUUAAGAACACAUAAUUAAGAAUAAGUCAAAUAUUUAUCAUACAAUUCAGAUAAUAAUAACAAGAUCCGUCUUAGGUUUCAUUCCCCUUAGGUAUUUAGGGGUUUUAGUUCAUAAUUAUGAAAGAAAACAUCUCAAAAGAAAAAUGAUAACAAAAUAUAAAGAAAACCCAAAACUCCUGAAGGAAAUUGAAGGAGAUCCUCAGUCUUGACGAAUAAUCCAGAUUUUGAGAUGGAUCAAUUGGCUUUGCUUGAGUAAUUCAUUGCCUCCUACUCCCUGUGUGUCUUCUAAGUGCCUCCCCAGGUGUUUAAAUAGGCUUUAGAAUGCCUAAAAGCCCUCAAGAGUGGCCUUUUUCGAAUAAUACUGAACUUGGGCUCGACAGGGACACGCUUGUGUGACACGCCCGUGUGCGAUUGCUUCAGACCAUGGUCAAGGCUGUUAAAUAGGCACGGGCGUAUGGUCUAUCUGUGUGAGGAAGUCCAGGCCUUGUUAAUUUCCCAUGUUGGUCUAUUUUCUUCGUUUUCGGCCCAUUUCUUAUGCUCACCUAAGUAUAAAACAUGAAAUUAAAGGAUUAGGAGUAUCGAAUUCACCAAAUCUAAUGAUAAUUCAUCCAAAAAUAUGCUAAGCAUGAGGUAAGAAUAUGUAUAAAUUAUGGUUUAUCAAUGGACUAUCACAGAAGGUGUCAUAGGUUUCUCCAACAUGGGCUUAUACAUAAUUUCAUGUAUUGUGAUCUGCCAUUUCAAAUUAUACAUUAUCGAAGGCUACACCAUAAGCAUAUAUACAGACAUAUCUUGCAAUGGGUCUUAGCCAUAUAGCUUACACACACAUUCAUGUAUUGUAAUCUGCCAAUCCAAUCUUCAUCUUAUUAGAGGCUACACCAUGAGUGUUUCCAAAUCAAAGUAAGAUGUCAUGGGUCUCAACCUUAUAGUUUAUUCUUGUUUUCGUAUCGUGAUCUGCCAGUCUAGUUAGCAAUAUAACUGCCCUACCAGAGGCAUCAUAGAGGAAAAUUUGCUCAGCAUUUACUUCCCUAGAUGAUCACCUUUUUACUAGCUCAUACAUCUCCUACAUCAGACCUUACCUGCAUGCUUACCAAACAUUAUUCUUUUUAAUAGAAUUUAUACAUAUCAUCGUAGCACAUCUUUCAUCUUUGCUAAACUCAUAUUUAUACUAAUUUCUGUAGACAUCAUCAUCACAUAUAUAUAUGCUUCUUGUUUGAACAGUUCAUAUCAAAAAGUCAGGAUAGAGACCCACUUAACUCUCAUCUAUUGCAGUUCAAAGUUCUGGACUCAACCACCCUUCUCAAACCAACAGUAAAAACUGCUUACAAAACAUAGAAUCACCAUUAAAACUCAUUUACAUACAAAUUACCAUCAUCUUAAUCACUUUUCCGCUGCUAAUUAAUAAAUAAAUGUUGAGUAGUAAAUAAAUAAAAAAUUAACUAAGUUUUCAAAAAAAAAAAGUCACUGUGAUGAGAAGAAUAAGUUUUCAAAAACAAAAGUCACCGUGAUGAGAAGAAUGUCAAAAUUAAUUGGUUUUUGUUAACUCAUAUGUUUUUCUAAAAAUAGGUUAAGUUUUCUUCUGAAAUAAACAAAUAUUUUGAAAUGAUUGUUUUAUAAACUCCAAUCAUAGGCCAUCUUAGUGGUCGAUGUAAUCUCCCAAAUUCGGUUCUAACAUCUAGGUUGGGUUGGAGAGGUUACAAUAUAUAUAGAAGGAUUCAUCAAUAAUGGAAACUUGAAUACAAGCAAAGAAAGAAAUCAAUCAAUGUGAAUUACUAACAAGUUCAAAAGCAUAUAUUUGGAUUAUAUUUUGUAAAGUACAAGAAUGUCAAGGAAUUAGACAUUUUGUUUUGAUAGUGAUUAUAUUUUAUAUAUAUUUACUUUUAUGCACUUUCAUAUUGAGUUGAUCAACAGUUUUGAAACUUUAUAGAAAACUUCAAGGUAUCACUUGUUGCGUAAGUGAUAUUUUACUAAGGGUGCAUAAUUGGAGGCCUCCUAGAUAUGUGAAAAUAAUGUUUAAAAAUCCAUCAAAUAGUAAAAACAUAAAUGAAAUAGCAUAUUGAUAUAUAUGGUAUCUUGAGUGUUGAAUUAAACAUUCUUUAGUAAAAGAAUGUACAUUUUGCACAUUGUGGGUGUGUUGGUUUCUUAUAUAUCAAUUAAGCACAAAUUAAAGAAAAAUAAUAUAUAUCACCAUAGUGUUGUAAUAUUUUGUAAAAUUUGUAAAAUUAUAUAAGCAAAAAAGUUUACCUAUCUCGUUAAAUAAAACUCAUUGAGUUGGUUCUUAAUAUUGAAGAAUUAGAGUGGUUGACUUCUUUAUUCAUUUUAUCCAACUACAAGUUGGAUUAAAGUUGUGGAAAUAGAAUGGUUGAAAAUUUGUGUUAAUGAGAAUUAAAGUUGUGGCCACAACUGAUGCCGACUAUUUUCUAGAAACAGGGACUGAUGUCCAAAACAUGUAGUAAAAUAAAAUUUUAGACAUGUUAGCAUAUGAAUUUAUUAUAUUAUAGAUUCAAUGUAACACCCCUAUCCUAUCUCUGUUGCUGGAUUAGGAUUUCAGACUAUUACUAAGAAAAAUAGAACAUUUAACUUUCCAACAGAAACAAUUAUACAAUUAAAUACCAACAUAUAUCAAUUAAAUCUAAUCAUGGCAAAUAUUACACUUAUAGACCUUGAAUCGAGCCUAUGGAGCCCUAGAAAAAAUUUAGGAACAAUUUGGGAUCAAAUCGAAACAAAUCAAAACAUUUUGAAAAAAAUAUAAAAAUUUGGGAAAACAGGGGUCACACGGUUGUAUGGCCAAGUCGUGUGACAAAGCCUACACCGCGUAAACAUUAGAAGUCAAAACACUCAACUGUGUCCCAGCCUGUGUGUCUACUCAUGUGUAUAAUCGAAAUAGGGUCACACAGCUGUGCUGCAGACUGUAAACCGUGUGUGUAUUCGAAGUUAGGUCACACGACCAUGUGACCGACCGUGCCACAAACUGUUUUGAGACACACGGUCGUGUCACAGACCAUGUGAAAUAUGCACCUAAAAUAAUAAAUAUACACGACCAUGUGUGGUGACUAUGUGUGGCACAUGGUCGUGUGGUAGCUUGUGUCUCAGGCUGUGUGCUCCAUUUUUAACCCCUAAAUUAAGUUAAUCAAGCAUCAUUUCUUGCACAGCAAGACAUACCAUAUCUAACUAAUUUUACAUGGUAAAAAUCACAUUCAGAUCACCAAAUACAUACCAAAAUUUCAUUCAUCCUAUGUCUAACCAAUAUACCAUCAAAAGGCAUCUCAAUCCAUACAUUCAUUCAACUCAAGAACAAAGUUACAAUAAAGGAACAAGUUUUAUCAUUAGUUAACCAUUCAUGCCUAAAACCACCAAUCUAAUUGACGAAAAUAUGGGCAUACUCAACAAGCAACCAUUUCAAAACAUCAUCACCAAAUCUUUAUAUACCAUUUAGGAUCAACUUAAUUAUAUCCAACACAAGUACACAUCCAAAACAAAGCACAUCACUAGAAAUACCAAAAUAACUUAACGAUUUACACAUCAACAAUAAGACACCACAUCCCAAAAUGAAAUACAAAAGCUACCGAGAUGGCUGGAUAGUGUGUGCUCCAAAACAAUUCGUCUAGUCAGUCCAUAAAACGCCAACUCAACCAAUAUAGAUAAACAAAAAAGAUAAGUUCUAAUUCUUGAUAUUCAAAUGCAAGAUCACACCACAUUAGUAUAUAUUUAUUUACAUCAUAAAUGAUACCUUCCAAAAGUCAUAACCAAUUCAUCAUCCAAAAUUUCUCAAUACAACCAUUAACAUUUAUAAAACAAAAACUUCAUAGAAACAUUUAUCAUUUAGUAGUAAUAUAACUAUCCAACAAAAUUGAACAAAUAAAUGAGUUUUAAGUCAUUUGAUGCAUAUCCCGCUGAACUAUAGUAACUAGACUCGGAUACUCAAUGAUGCAUAACAGAGGCACCAAAGUGCAAACAGAGGAAGGAAUAUGCAAUCAAAGGCAUUGAAGUGCAAACAAAUGCACCAAAGUGCAAACCCGUACAAGCGCACAUUAAAACCCUAUUGGCAUACUAAUCGUAUCCUAAUCAUUUACUAUGUUCAAUGGGGCAUUAAGAAUGGGGCAUUAUACUUAAAAUCGCAAUACCAAUAAAUCCAUCAUUUAGAGGCACUUCUUAUUUCCGUACACAUAAUAACAAUAAUUACCAUCAUCAAACAUUCAUUUUAUAUUUGUACUUAAUUACAAAUUUUAAUAAUAUAUAAGUAACUAAUGAAAUUUCCCAUAUAUACCAUUAACUAGAAAAAAAUAAUAUAAUCAUAAAGAGAUACACAUAUACAUAUUAUUACAUUAUGAACUUACCUGCAAUCCACUUCCAAAUAAUAUACAGGGACUACUCCGCAAUUUUUCUCUUUCCUCGAUUAUUGUCUUUUUGACUCGGUUCUUGAUCUAUAUAAUAAUUAAAUUUAAUUUAUUAAAUUUACAUAAUUUAAAAAUCAAUUCAAUGCAUGACACCCUUAUGUUUUCAUUAUUUUCACAUUUUCCUUAAACUUUUACAUUUCUCACAAUUUAGUCCCUAAACCCGAAAUUCCAAAAUUUAACAAAAUUUUACAAUUUUCCAUGCUAGCCGAACUUCUUUCUAAACUAGUACAAUCCCCAAUUAUUUACAAUUCACAAAAUUUCUAUGCAAAUUUUAAUUAUUUACACAUUGAUCAUUAAACUCAAAAUUAACACAAAUUCUUUUACAAAAAUAUCCUAAUCAACAUUCAAAUAUAUACAACUACCAUUAAAAAUCAUGAACACCAAAAUUCCAUUACUAACCAAUCCCUAAAACUUCAACAUUUUUAUAAUUUCAUCCUCAGGUUUAAUAGUUUAAGCUACAACGAGUUCAAAAAAUAUAAAAAUUAUUAAAUAUGUGAGAGAGAAACACUUACAUGCACCAAUUUGCUAACCGAAACUUUAAGCUCAAAAAAUGGAGUUUCUUUUUUUCUUUUUCUUUUUUGGUAGGAGAGAGUUGAGAAGAUGAUGAUACCAUAUUUUAUCUUUUGUUUCUUUUCUUUAAUUAAACUAAUUACCAAAUUAACCUUUUAAUCUGAACUAAAUUAUUAACAUAACAUGACCAUAAUUUUCCAUUAACUAACCAUAAGGUUUAUCUAUCAAUCAAGUCCAUUAUUUUAGUUUUUCUUUAAAAAUCAAGCACAUUUAACUAAUAAAAGCUACUUUAGCAUAUUUUACAAUUUAGUCUUUUUUACUAAAUUAACUAACUAGACAUUAAAAUUUCUUAUCCAAAUUUUAAUACGACUCAAAUAUAACUCUAUAAACAUAAAAUAAACAUAAAAUACUAACUCACUUGUUGGAAUUAUGGUCCUGAAAUAACCAUUUUCGAUACUACUGAAAAAUGGGAUAUUACAUUCAAUCUCUAAUUUAUGCUAAUGAAUGUGAGAGAAUAAUUUUCUUUGUAUAGUAAUACUACAACUAGAAUGUGUUUCGAUCCUAUUCUUAGAAACUGAUAGUAGAAACCCAACUUUUAAUUAGAAACCUCUUGUUUUAAAGUUCAAUGGGUAAAAGCAAGUUAUCGUUAUAUGUCUGUGAUACACUAGUAAAACUCAUUAUAGAAAAAAAAAGUUUAAUGGAAACUAGUGUUAUCCAUUGCGUAUAGAGGAUGAAUUUGAAUACUAUUAAUGAAGUUCAUUGUUUAUUGUUUAAAUGUCUAAAGCAAGGGAAACAUUAAAAGAACUCUACCUAUAUAAACAUAAGAAGUGAUGCCACUUCAACAAGUAAAGGUAGGGUCUCUCUUGUAAAUGUUUAUUAUGAACAAGAUAAGCACAUGAUCAUUUUAGUGCUAAAAGUGAACAACCUCUGAUAGAAAUAUAAAUGAAUAUUAUGUGUAGUGUAUUUCAACUUCUAAUACUAGGAGUUGUGGUUCAAUCUUCGGACACCAACGACUUAUUAGAACUUUGAAAAGCAUCCGCUAAUUGAUGGUUCAUAUUGAGAGAUAUCAUCUUAUAUGCAUAAUAUUUGUUGGAGUGAAUGGCUAUAAAGUAUGGUACCAACAUUUAAACUAAGGGUGAUUGUUAGUAGUUUAUAAUGUUGGCAGUAAAAAUAUUUUAUUAUGUAGAAAAGUCUAAUAACUUAUAAUUAUUGGCCAAAUAAUUGUGUUGUAAAGAGAAUUUUUGUAUGUAAAGUUGUCUUAUAAACUUUAUGUAAAGUUGUGUUGUAAAACAACACAAUUAUAUGAAAAGGUAUCUUAUUAAAAGAUAUAUUCAUAUUAAAGGGUAUCUCAUAAAAGAUACAUCUAUUGGAUGUCUAUAUAAAAGACUUUUCUAUUAGUCAUUUAAAUUGUUUUACUUGGAGUGUUGAGGCCUUUAUUGUAUCUUGAAGGUAUUUUAAAAUCUUAAAGAAAGUGCUCUACAUGCCUCAAAGUCGUUAUAUUUUAUAACAUUAUUUUAUUUUUCUAACUUCUAUUUUCCUAUUAUUUAUUUUUCUAACAGCCAGAAUAUAGAAAAAUUAUUAUGUUUCUAACUAUAUAUUAAAUACGAGUACUACUUGGAAGCCAGCACCCACAAACAUGAUAAAAGUUAAUUUUGAUGAGAGUUUUGACGUGGAAGCAAGAAAUGAGGAAGAGGGUAGUUAUGCAGCAUUGUGAUGGUUUUUUAGUCCGACUACGCAACCAUCCAAUUUAGGGUGCGUUCUACAUUAAGGUGAAAAAGCACUUAAAAAGAACAUUUGGUUUUUACACUUAAAAGUGUGAUGGAAAAAUACUUUUUCAUUCAAAUACAAAAAUUAAGAUAUAAAUGCUUUUGACUUUUAGCUUUUACAUUAGAAUGUGAAAAUUAUCAAAUACUAUUAUUUAUAUUAACUAUUUAAAGUGUAUAUAAAAAUUAGAUUAAUUUAUAUUUUAUAUAUCAUUAUAUUAAAUUAUUUAAAUAUUAUUUAUUAUUAUAUCUUUUAAUAAUUUAUAUAUCAUCUAUUUUACAAAUAAUUUAUAUUAAUUACUUCAAAAAUAUUUGGAACUUAUAUUUCAUGUACCAUUAUAUUAAAUUAUUUAAAUAUUACAUAACUUAAAAUGUCCUUUUCUUUAGACAUGAUAGACUUUUAACGGGAAUUUUUUGUAGUAACGGAGAACACCAAAAACUAAUGAGUACAUUUUUUCAUAGCACUUUUCUACCACUUUUCAACUACAACGGUAAUGGAGAACUAAUCCUUACUAAAGUUACCGAAGCACUAGCUUCCACUGUAGCCAUUGAAAUGGGGCUCCAAUUGGGAUUGCAACACAUUAUUAUUAAAAGAGAUGCUCUCUAAGUGGUUUCGAAGUUGAAGGAAGACAAAGAAGACCUACCAACAAUCGGACCUUGAUAGCAAAGAGUUGAAUACUUGCUAAACAGGUUCAGCAAUGUAGGUUUCAACAAAGAAAGAGGCAUGCUAAUGAGGUGGCACAUCAUCUGGCCAAACAGGGUGCAAUGCCCAAUUUCUGCCCGGGCCUAAUCAAAACAGCCCAAAGCAGAAAGCCCAAUUUUUCUAGACCUAGCCCACAACUAUUUUCAGCACCACCAUGCACCCAUUUUCUCCACCACUCUUCCACUCCAGAACACCCACGAACGGUUUCCCUCCAUGCCAUACAUACCUGCAAAAUAGAUUAAUGACUCAUAGCAGUUGACAGUAGAAAGAAAUAACAACAGGAAACGGUUUUGUACUUGGCUAUAAAGCCUUUGAAUUUUUCAUUGUUUGGUUUUUUUUUCUUUCUUUUUUUUUUCAGAGAGAUUGUACACGAAAUACAUACAAAAAUCAAUAGAAAGCAAUUCAAAGGUGAUUUAUCGCUAUUUAUUGUGUUUUUUUUUUCAAUUGGGUUUACAUACAAGUAUAAAAUAUAAGAGAGAACGAGAGGCUUACCGGAGUUAUAUCGCAUUCACGCCGUCGGUAGGACUAGCUCCGUUGGUCACGAACAGAUUUUGGGAGUGGUUGGGGGCUUGAAAGGAGCCUUUCGGCUGGAGAAUAAAGGGAGAGUGAGGGAGAUGAUAUAAUAUCCAAGGCAUUUAGGGUUUUUUUUUUUAAAUAAAAGUUAAAAAGUUUUCUUUUAAGCACAAUUUUUAAAGCGGGUUUUAGGUGAUAAGAAUGAAACAGCAUGGGGAAGGGAAAGGAAUAGCGUGUUUAACUUGGUCCACGUGCAUUUACCCCUUAAAUGGGUAAUUUUCGUUAUCAGUCCUCCUUACUUGCGUCACCCUUUAUUUGAUCCUAUUCUGUUUCUUUUAUUUUUGCCUUGAAUUUUGCGCACCGUUCCAAUUUAGUCCGAGCAUGAGUGUUGCUUUUUUGGGGUUGGGAACAUUUUCAAUUUUAGCCCUUAUACAUUCACGCGCAUUGCGCUUUGGUCCCUAUUUCAAUUUCAAUGGUUUUUUUAUUUGUUAAUUGUCCCUUUAAUUUUGCUUUUCUUCCAAUUAAGUUUUUAUUUAUUUUUUCCAUAAAAUAAGAAUAUAUUAUUUUAACAUAUAGUUUUGUUCAACAAAAUUCAUAUAUAUUUUUGUAUAUAUUAUUUUAACAAAAUAAGAAUAUAUUGUUUUCUUCAUAUGCAUAUUUAUUUGUUUUUUCUUCCAAAAUAAUUUCAUAUAUCAUUUUGUAUUUAUAUACUUUACUUAUAUUAAGUUUGCUUUAUAUCAUGUAUAUACGUAACUUAUACUAAGUUAUCUUUACUCUAAGUGUACAUUAUUGACUUCCUUUUAUUUUAUGUAAAUAUUUCCUUUUAUUUUAUUUUUUUAUGUAUAUUAUUGAUUUUAUGUUAUUUUAUGCUUGUUUAUUUUCUUCUAAGGACCCUAUUUUAAAUGGUAUAUUUUAUUUAUUUUCGUAUGCUAGUACCUUUGUUUUUUUUAUGUAUAAAUUUUCAUUUCAAGUAUUAUUUAUUUAGAUUGACAAAUACUAUGCUAUGUAUUACUUUUUUUAUAUAUAUACAUUAUGUGUCUUGAAAUAUCGUUUAUAUAUUAUUAUGUCGUACAUUAUUUUUAUUUUUAUUAUUUUUUGACCUAUUCCAGACUGUCAUAUAUGUUACCUUAAGAUUUUUAUACAUUUGUUUGAUUGCAUACUAACGAUUCCAAAUUGCAUUUCUUCUAUAUUAUCUAUAUUAUUUGUUAAAACUUGCCACAUACUUUUAUCUCAUGUACAAAACUAAGCUUGUACACAUGUUAUUGCAUCAUGAUCUUUAAAUUCCAACUCUUUGCCCAACAUCAAUCGUUUUUUAUCCCCAAGCAAACCAAACAAGUAUUUUUAAUUCGGUUUUUAUAACUGUUAAUUUAAAAAUUUCCCAAAACAAAGGCAAUGUUUGAUGUUUGAAAUUUUGGAAAUCGUGCCCUAACGUACUGGGUUUCGAUUUUUCGUUUAUCCAAAAUAAUCAAGUAUCCCCUUUAAAGUUUCGUAUGUGUUUUCUAAACUUCAAAACAAGGCAAUGUUCUAUGUUUUGGAAAUCCGAGAAAUCGUGCCCUAACGUGUUGGAUUUCAAUUUUUCGUUGGACCAAAUGAUCGAGUAUCCUUUUGAAAUUUCAAAUAUAUGAGCUUUUGGAAAUUAAGACUCGGUUGUGGUUUCGAGGGUUUAGAAAGUUAUGUCUUAACGUGCUGGAUGUGAUAUUUUAUUCCUUCAUAACAAAAGAAUUCUUAAUGACCAAUUUGAGUUAUUCAAAUAUUUUAAAAGAAAUAGUAUUUCAAAAUAUCUUUUAAAUUUUAGACAUAAGGACAUUGAUUAAUCAAUUAGGUACCAAUUUUGGGCGUCACGAGGGUGCUAGCCCUUCCUCGUGCGUAACCGACUCCCGAACCCUUUUUUCUCGACUUACGUAGACCUGAAAUUAUUGUUUUAAUAAAUCAAAAUGUUUUAUUAAAAUGAUCAAUUUCAAGGUGAUCCGAUCCCACCUCAGAAGGGAUCGGUGGCGACUCCAAACUUUGAUUUUUCAAAGUCGAUCCCCGUUUUUUUCAAACUUUUAGAAAAUGGUUUCGACACAAGGCCUUAAUUGUUUUCCAUCUUUUGUUCAUAUGUUUGUUUUGAAAAGGUAAAACAAAUCCUCACCUAUUGAUGUUAGAACGGUUGAAUUGCUAAAAGCAUGCUGCGUGCAUAACCAUGCUUUAGGUUAGGCUUCAAAUCAAAUAAAUUUUAAAUUAUUUUUAUUUGAAUUUAAUUAUAAAAAUAUAUUAAUAUCAAUAUAAAAUUAUAUACAAUUUUAAGAUAUUUUAUUUUUCAAUAAUAAAACGAAUCAUCUACCAACCCUAAUUCUUCAGUUUUCUUUUUAAUUAGAUGAUAACUCAAGCCAAGCUAACCAAUAAACACCCAAAAUCUACCAUCAUUUUCAUUUUUUUUUCUUUUGUCACAAAGUAGACAGAAGAUUCGGUUUGGAUAAGCUCUACGUUAUUAAGUCAAAAGCUGAAGUAAUUUUAAUCAUAAAUUGUUUUAUUUGUUUAUAAUGCAAAACAAUGACCCAAUUAAUACAAUAAAGCUUUAACUUUGUGGGAAUUUUCAGUCCAAAAAAAAAAAAACAAUUUGUGGAAAUUUUAGAGCAGUUGACCAUUUCUUCCGAAUUAGUUUUCUCACUUCUUGUCCAUAUUCCAUGUAUAUUAUUUCAAGAAAUUAGGUUUAGAAAAUUGCAUAAUUCAACCAUUGAACUAAUAAAUAUUAAAGAAAAAUUGGGUGGCAAAAAUAUCUUAUUAAAAGCGAAUCAUAUACUAUUAAUAGAUUUUAUGAUUAAAUUAGUUUCACGUGUUAACGGGAUAUUAACUUGAUUUAGUAAAUUAUAAAAAUGUCUUUUAAUGUUUAAAAUAAAUUAUAUUAUUUGAAGAUAUUUUAAUUUUUUUAUUAAAAAAGGAUGAUGUCUCAAAUUAACUCACAAUCUAAUUUAAUUUUUUAUUUUAAUAUCGUAAAUGUUUCAUGUUUUAUUAUUAAUUUGUUUCAAAUUAUACAUUUCAUUAUUUAUUUUAUGUUAUUUUUAAACAUAUUUGUGUUCUAAAUACCAAAUUUUCACUUAAGGGUAUCAGAGACGAAUCUAGAGAGGCUAGUAGGGGCCCCGGUCUCCUUAAAAUGAAAAUUAUUAUUUAAGCCCUUUAGAAAAUUUUAAAAUUUUAAAUUAGUAAAUGUAAAAUUGCACUUUGACCCCCUAAAAUUAUAAAAAUUUAAUUUAAUCUUUUAAAAAUUAUAAAGAUAUAAACUAGUAAAAAUUAAAAUUUCAUUUCGAUCCUCCCUAAAACAUAUUUUUGGCUUCACCUAAAGGGUAUGACUAGUAUGAAUAAUUUUCUUUGGAAGUCUUAAACAAACAGGAGUUAAGUAAAAAGGAGUUUUCAUACAUACAUAUUCGGCGUUGAUGUUUCCCUUUCGAAAAUUUAAAUUAAGACAUAGGAAAAGAAACUAAAAUUGAGCUUAAUUUAUGCAGUUGGGUUCAAAAUUUAAUAUUUAAAUAUAAAAAUUCUAAUAAUUCGAUCUGGUCCGUUUCAUCUAGCAGACUAAUAAUAAAUCUUAAAACAUAUUAUAUUUUAAUUUUAAUAAAACCAAAACUGAUACAUUUGACCUACAUCUACAUGUGAUCUAUGCUUAAUUAAAUUAGUCUAAAUUAGACGAGAUCUUGAUUAGGAGUCAUUUAUUUAUAUUAUAAGUCCCUGAAACAUGCAAAACUUACAUUUAAAAAUUAAUAUUUUUACGUUGUUGUUAGAAUAUAGGGUUUGUUAAUGUUUUCGUGUGAAGUCAGCUGUUGACAUUACCAACCAGAUAAUGAAAAGGGAACAUGGCAAUUAUUCCAUCCUAAUUGUCACACACACACACACACCUAAUUAAGUUAAUCCAAAAAUUACCUAACGUUUAGCAUUUCAAUGGUAGAGUCAGCUCUUUCUUCUAGUCUAUCAAAAAAAAAAAAUCAAUUUAACCCCUAACUCUUGGAUGGAAAAGUUUUUGCUAUGAACUUGUUGAAGUGAAUCUAAUGUGAUAUAAACACAUCACAAUCCAUGUGUGUAAUUAAAAAUAAUAGAGAGAGAUUGAAUAAUUUAAAGGGAAAAAAAAAGAAUUUACUCCCUCCACUAACAGGUAACUCUUGCAGCUUGAAUCUACAACGUAUGUAUGAAAGUGAACACCUUUAAUUAAUGAAUAAAUACUAAAGUUCUAGGUUUAGAAUUAAUUAAAUAUCAAUACAAAAAGUUAAUUACUUUUUGAAAUAAGGAUAAAUCGGUUUUUGAGGUUUGAUAAUUUUUCACAUAUCGAGGUUUGAAUUUUUUUAUCUUAAGUUCUAAACUUGACAAUAGUUCUCAAGAUGUGAAGGUUUUUUUUUUAUCCAAAUUAGGCUAUGAACUUAGAUAGAAAUCUUAAAAUUCAACCCUAAUGUAGGUAUAAUUGUCAAGUUAAAAAAAAUUCAAAUCUUAAUAGAAGAAUAAUCUACUAAUUGGUAACCCUAAUAUAAAAACAAUUGUUAAGUUGAAAACUUAAUUUUUUUUAAAAAUUCAAACCCUUAUUAACUUUAGGAUUUAACCCUUUGAAAUAUUGCGUUAAUUAAUAAGUGUAAGAAUUAUUUUGUGUUAAUGAUUAAAUAAAUAUUUAAGUGGAGAUCAAGUUUUACCUCAUUUGUCAAUUGUCAGGUGAAGAAUAUAUACCCUAAAGGCCUAUCAAAAACGGACCUAUCUCUAUAUAUCUUUACUAAUUUACUAUUCAUUUUUAAUGAAAAGCAAUAAAUUAAUGAAAACGCUAUAAAACGAAAACUACAUGAAUAAAUUAUAUGUGUAAAAUUGAAAUAUUUCGUGACGACAUUAUUGAAAAAAAUAAUCAUUAACCUUAAAUAUAAACAAUUAUGACAUUUCUAUAAAAUAUCAUUUAAUAUAUUGCAUCAAAGUUUUAAAAAAUGUUAUGUGUAUACUUUUACCUCGUAUAAAAAAGUCUUUCAUUUCUCAAUUCUUAUGGCAUAGUAAAUUUAUUAUUAAUUUUUAAAAAAAAUGGUUAUUAUUUGUGUAUUAAAUAAUUAUUGGGAUAAAUUUUAAAGUUGUACAUGGAUUUUGGUUACAUGUUAAUUAUAAACAUUAACUUUGAUUUUAUAUAAUUUUAUAUAUGAAAUUUUAAUUUGAUCCAAUUCUCAUAAAUUAUUAACAUAAUUAUUGAUAUAAUAUCAUUUUAUGUUUAUAUGCUAUAUACAGAAAUAAUUAUAUUUAUUCAAUAUAAAAAUUAAUUGAUGUAUUUAUUUCUUUAAACGUAUAUGAUUGAAUCAAAAUUAAAACAUCAUGUAUACAUUUGAACCAUAACUAAAAUUUUACAUAUAUAAUUAUACAAAAUUACAAUUCAUAUACGUAAUAAACUAAAAUUCAAUUUUUUUAUAAAAUUAACCUAAAAAAUUUAAUUAAUUACAUAAAUGACCCUUUUUUUUAUUAAACACGUAAAUGACCUAAAAUCUACCGUGAAAAUUGGUGGAAGCAAAGAGUUUGGCACCACCAACAUGCCACGUCAGCAACCAAGAUAAAAAAAAUCAACUUUUUGGUAGAGCCAUGCAUAAUAGUGCUACUUGUAUAAAUAUCAGGAAAAUACUAUAAUUUCUAAAAAAUAAGGGACUUUAAUAAAAAAAAAUUCUAUUUUCUGGUGGAGCCAAAUAAAUUGGCGCCACCAGUUUCCAAUGUGAUUUUUUUUAAAGUUUUCUAAAAUUUUAAAUAUAUUAAAAAAUGUUAAGUAUAAUUAAUUUUAAAAGUUUAAUAUAUUUAAAAAUUUAAUAUACUUAAUAUAUAUUUUUAAUAGGUAAAGAAAAAAAUGAUUUUUUAAUAUAUUUAAAAUUUUAAAAAACUUAAAAAAUUUAAAUACUUUAAAAAAUAUUAAGUAUAACUAAUUUUAAAAUUUUAAUAUAUUUAAUAUAUUUUUAAAAUAUUUUUAAAAUUUUUAAUAUAUUUAAAUUUUUUAAAGUUUUUUAAAAUUUUAAAUAUAUUAAAAAAAAUUUCCUCAUUACCUAUUAAAAAUAUAUUAAAUAUAUUAAAAUUUUAACAUAUAUUUUUAAAAUAUAUAUUAAAUAUAUUAAAAUUUUAAAAUUAGUUAUACUUAACAUUUUUUUAAUAUAUUUAAUUUUUUACUAUUUUUUAAAAAUUUUAAAUAUAUUAAGAAAAUAUUUUUUAUAUUUACCUAUUAAAAAUAUAUUUUAAGUAUAUUAAAUUUUUAAAUAUAUUAAACUUUUAAAAAUAAUUAUACUUAACAUUUUUUAAUAUAUUUAAAAUUUUAGAAAACUUUAAAAAAAAUUACAUUUGAAACUGAUUGGCUCCACCAGAAAAUAGAAAAUUUUUAUUAAAGUCCCCCCAUUUUUUAGAAAUUAUAAUAUUUUUUUGAUAUUUAUACAAGUGGCGCCAUUCUACAUGGCUCUAUCAAAAAGUUGAUUUUUUUUAUCCUGGUUGCUGACGUGGCAUAUUGGUGGAGCUAAACUCUUUACCUCCACCAAUUUUCACAGAAAAUUUUAAGUUAUUUAUGUGUUUAAUCAAAAAAAUAGAUCAUUUAUAUAAUUAAUUAAAUUUUUUAAAUUAAUUUUAUAAAAAAAACCCUAAAAUUCAUAUAUAUAACUGUAAGAUUUAUGUCCACAAUUAUCUAAAGCUAAUCGGUGAUAAUUACUAUGGAAAUUCAAUGUACUUAACUAAUUGAUUGAUAGGAACAAGCAUGAUGAAAUCCAUGAUUGGGAAGAGAGAGAAUUCAAAAACUGAACGCCCCAUUAAUCCAUGCGAAUAAACUUUUUCGGUAUACAUCAUAAUUCAUUUAAUUUUAUCAUUAUCUCUAUGCUAUAAUUAUGUUUAAACUAAAAUACUUGAGACAUUAAUAGUUUGUGUUAUAUAAAUUAUGAUAUCCAUAUAUCCAUAUUAUAUAUAUAUUUUUAUAUUAUGAAUGCAUUUAAAAAAAAAUUAUGAAAAAUGUAGAGUCCGCAAAUAAAAAAUGGCUUACAAAUUAACAGAAAACCAAUUUUAUUUCUUGUAAAUUGAUUUACCAUAUUAAAAAGUGUAAAUCUUUUUUUAAAUUUAUUUACGAGUAAUUUUAUUUUUAUAAAAAUUAAUUUUAGCCAAGCCUAAUAUUAUUUUAUUAAUAAUAUUAUUUUUAUUUUUAUUUUUAAACAAUUUAAAAUUAUUAAUAUCAAAUAUUAUAAUGUUGAAUCCUAGUAACAUACAUAUUAAAUUAUUUAUAUUAUGUUAUAUUACAAUUUUAUUUUAAUAAUAAAUUUUAACAACAAUAAUUUUAAAUUUUAAAUCGUAUUUUUAAUAUAUUAUUGAAAAAUAUUUAUAUUAAUAUUUUAAUAAUAAAUAUAUAUUAAAAUUUAUAAAUAUUUAAUAAUAAAUUUUUUAUAGUAUAAAAUAUGAAUAUUUUAAUUAUAUAGAUAUGAGUAUUUGUUUAAAUCAUGCUUAAGUUCAUUUAUCUCCCAACUCUAAUGUGUCAUUAUACACUGUCAUAUAUAUAAUAUAUGUAAUUUAAGCAUUAUUUAUUAUUAAAUUUAUAUAUGAUAUUAAUUAUAAUAAAAUAUUAUCUUAUUAUAAAAGAAAUUCCAAUUGUCAAAAAGAAAUGUUACUCUAAUAUUUUGUAAUAAGUAUAUUUAUAUUGUAUUUGUUUCACUAAUAACAAAUUUAAAAUGAUUUUAGAAAAAAAUAUCAAAAAAUAAAAAAUAUUUUAAUCAAAAUAAUUCAAAUAAAAAAAACUAAACUUUUCCAUGAAAUCAAUCCAAUUUUAAGAAAACAUUAAAAUUGUUUUAGGUGAAACAAAAGGAACCUAUAUUUUAUAUAGUAUUUGAAAAGUUGUUGUAUCUAGAAUUAUUAUCUUUAAUUUUUUUUAGGUCUAUUUCUAAUUUUCAAAAAUUGAGAAGUUAAUUUCUCUAUUUUACUUUAUCAGUCCGUGCUUAUUUUUUAUUAAUUUGUUGUGUAUAAAUGGUUAAACUAUUGAUUUUUGUUAAUUACUAGCAUGUAAAUUGUUAAACUACUUGUUCCCAAGUCAACAGUAAAGCUUAAUAGUAUUAUCAAUUUGGAAUAAUUUCUGAGAUUUUUCUUUUAUUUUGCGUGAUUAAGAUAUUUUUCAUGUACGGUUUAAGGUUUAUGAAGACUAAUCCUUUCGAGUUUAUAACUACCCUUUUUAAUAAUGUCGUCUUUAAAAUUCGAGUUCUCUUUCUUGUAAGUACAAUAUGCCUUACAUUUAUAACUAAUACUUCUUAUUUUUGUAAAAUAUAAGAAUCAAAUUAUGUAGUAAGAUUAAUUUCUAGAUUUUUUAAAUUUAAAAUUUAACAUUUAAAAUAUUAUCAAUCACAUCACACACAAAACCAAAGAGCAAGAGAAUCUAAAAAACACGUGGACCAUUAAUUUAGGAAUGGACAGAAACUCAUGCAAAAUGGUUGGAAAACACGUACAGGAUUAUAUAUACUAAUCAUUUUUAUUAUUAAGCAGAAUUGGAAAUAAAUAAAUACGGGCGAAACCACUGAAUAAUACAGCAUUGAAAUGCAAUUUGUCUACAUCAUUAUUGUUCUUCACUUCAAACGCGGAGACUAGUCUAGGGUCCCAAUCUUUUGCUUUAUCUCUCUAGAUAUAUCCUUUUCAAACUAUCUUUUUGUAGCUUUAUUUGCAUCACAGCAUUAUCUUUUCCUGCAAACAACUGUUUAAAGAUUAAAACAUGCAAAACAUUCUGAAAUAAUGCACCCUGACCAGAUGACAAAAAAAAAAGAGGAUUCUAAUGUAUCUUACCUUGGAUUGGAGCACGGUCAAAGCCGUGGCUUAGUAGUGGUGAGGAGGAGGGGGUGAAGCGUAGACAUAAUGGGGUGGGGGUGGAGGAGGAGACUUGUAUUUGUAAACUGGAGGAGGAGGUGGUGGAGACUUGUACUUGUAAGGGUGCUUGGGGGGUGAUGGUGGGGGUGGUGGGGGUGACUUGUACUUGUAGGGGUGCUUGGGUGGUGACGGUGGGGGUGGGGACUUGUACUUGUAAGGGUGCUUGGGGGGUGAUGGUGGUGGUGGUGGAGGUGACUUGUACUUGUAGGGGUGCUUGGGUGGUGACGGUGGUGGUGGUGGGGGGGACUUGUACUUGUAGGGAUGCUUUGGUGGGGAUGGUGGUGGUGGUGGUGGGGACUUGUACUUGUAGGGAUGCUUAGGUGGGGAUGGUGGUGGUGGUGGAGACUUGUAUUUGUAAGGAUGCUUUGGUGGUGAUGUUGGUGGAGGUGGUGGGGACUUGUACUUGUAAGGGUGCUUGGGUGGUGAUGGAGGUGGAGGUGGUGGAGACUUAUACUUGUAAACUGGAGGUGGUGGGGGUGGAGACUUGUACUUGUAGGGGUGCUUGGGUGAUGAUGGAGGUGGAGGUGGUGGAGACUUAUACUUGUAAACUGGAGGUGGUGGGGGUGGAGACUUGUACUUGUAAGGGUGCUUGGGUGGUGAUGGUGGGGGUGGGGACUUGUACUUGUAGGGGUGUUUAGGUGGUGAUGGUGGUGGUGGUGGUGGGGACUUGUACUUGUAAGGAUGCUUGGGUGGUGAUGGUGGUGGAGGUGGAGGAGACUUGUACUUGUAAGGAUGCUUGGGUGGUGAUGGUGGUGGAGGUGGUGGAGACUUAUACUUGUAAACAGGAGUUGGUGGGGGAGGAGAUUUGUACUUGUAAGGUUUCUUGUGUGGUGGUGGUGGAGGAGAGUAGACCGGAGGAG
RNAcentral lists this long non-coding RNA (50878 nucleotides) under Gossypium barbadense (sea-island cotton). Its description in RNAcentral is "long non-coding RNA (GBAR_LNC001208)". The stretch from base 31826 to 31932 matches the Rfam family "Plant small nucleolar RNA R71". Lineage: Eukaryota; Viridiplantae; Streptophyta; Magnoliopsida; Malvales; Malvaceae. The record is from RNAcentral.